Molecule: long non-coding RNA, 61577 nt
Filed under: Populus tremula
Lineage: Eukaryota; Viridiplantae; Streptophyta; Magnoliopsida; Malpighiales; Salicaceae
Description: long non-coding RNA (PTRE_LNC002041)
Source: RNAcentral
CUUGCUGCUAAGACAUUGUCUUUUAACUCUAAACAUUAUUUUUCUGGUGUUGGAAUUUGCUUCGCAUAACGGAUCGUUUGUAGAAAAAAGAACAACAUUCACAAUCUAUGAAGAUAAGUAUCGUAUCAUCCUCGGAUUUCAUAAGCUGACUAGCAUUUCUAUCCUGCGUGGCAUGUGUCCGGCGUUGUACCAACAGGAACCGCUCCAUCAAACUGCCGCCCACUCCCUCAAAAUUAUUCUGCAAGUCUUCCUCUCCAACAAACUCAGACGCAUCUAAUCCAUUCCAUUUGGCUUCUCACAAUCUGUCAAGGACACAAUUAAUGCUGGAGUCGCCGAAUGUGCAGAUGUCAUCACUUCUGAUUGAUCAACUGAACUAUAAGUCCACGGGACAGUGUAGACAUCUUUGAUUUCAGGAAACCGGACCUCAUCUGGGACAGAAUCUGCAAUUAAAUUAGCACUUUAAAAUCAAACCAAGAUAAAGGUUUCUUGAAAAGAUCAUAUCCAUUAGAUAAUAUAAAUGGAGAAGUUAGUGACGUACCACUGAUACAGUGAACGCAGUGCACAGUUUUCCUCAUUCUUCUUAUGAGUUACCAUUAAUGGAAGCUCACACACACUAUACCAGUCCCAUGCUUGACAAUAAAUGCCAUAGCUUCUGGUGUUGCCUUUGACGCUGCCAUUAUAAAGCCCCCCUCAUUUUCUCUUAAUUUCUUCAUCAUCAACAACAAUUACUAACUGCAGAGUAUCAUCACACAUUCGUAACAUAAAGCCUUUGAAGUAAUGAUGUAAGGCCUAAGCAUACUAGCUAGACCCAGAAAAUUAAAUAAUAAAUCAAGAGGGUGAGCCUUUCCUUGACGAAUAUCCUCAAUGGCCUCUGGGAUCGAAGCAAAUCCUCUGGCCACAAUUUAUUGUUAGCACGUGUUUGCAAUUUACAAUAUAUAUUUUGAUGAGCUACUUGUAGAGUAACCAGUUUUGUAUUCUUGCUCAUUUUCAAUUUGGUUUCGGUAUCGUGUUUUGUAAUUAUUACUUACUGCUGGUGUUUUGAAUUAACUAAUCAUUUUUUCCCUCCAACUUCCCAUAUCUUUUUGUUGGAAGCUCCAUCUGUAUAGCAUUCUAUUUUUUUUUUUUUUGCAAAGAAAAACCUCGUUUUGCAUAACUGUUCCUAUGUCUUUUUAUUAUUGAUGUAUGUUUGAAAUUUUUAAUAUCUUAAAAGAGCAUAGAGAAAGCAGGUUUAUGAGGAUUCCAUGGGAGGCUACUGAUUUUUGCUCCCCAAGAGCAUCAUGCAACUUCUAACUGAGCAUUGAAUGUUAUAAUGAGAAAGAUUGGCGGCUAUUGCACACCCAAUAUAAUGCUUUUUUAAAAAAAAAUCUUUUUUUCACAAGAUGAGGUAAUUGGCUGUUGUGUGAUUUUUAUAUGACUUGUGUGUUUUCUUUUUUUUUUUAGUUUAACGUGGGUGUCCGGCCCAGCUUGCGCACACCUCGACUAAUCCCACGGGCCUUGAAGUUAUCGAUCAUGUAAGUCUCCAGUGGCCAUCAUAUGAGCAACUCAGGACUCGAACCUGAGACCACAGAGGAAGCAAACCUCUUGCUCCUAAGCUCUUACCACUAGGCCACCACCUAUAUGGUUUACUUGUGUGUUUUAGAUGGGCUUGUGGUGGUCACCCUAGAGAGAAUGUCACUUUUAGCAUUCUUUUAUAUAAGGUAAUUGGUUAUGUUUAAAAAUCAAAAUGCCACACACCAGAAAAGUCAAUUACUUAAGAUUUGUGGAAGAUAUGAAUGAUACAAGAGAUAAGAAAAUGAUUGCUAUUAUCAACAAUUUCUCUAUUAUUAUAUAUAUAUAUAUAUAUAUAUAUAUAUAUAUAUAUAUAUAUUUGGAGAAGUAACUCAUUAGAUAAUCAAUAAAAUUUCUUUUUGUUCAUGUACCACUAGUUUACACUUAAGUCAAAAACUAAAUUUACUUUUACUACUAUUUUAAUUUUUAAAAAAUAUUUUUAUAUUGUUUAAUGCAUUUAUUUCAAGAAAUAAAUUCCUUUUAUCUUAAAAUCUAGACUUGAAAACUAGUCUUCUCAUUCUAAUAAUAUAUAUGGUAUAUCUUUGACUCGAUUGAAUUGAAAUGUAAUAAAAAUAAAUCAAGAAUACCUUUCCUAACAUAAAAACAAAAGAGUGUGUGUGUAUGUUAUGUAUUUGAAGUUUUUGUAUAUAAUAUUAUAGCCACACAAUCCAGAGAUAAGAUUUACAAUUAUUCUGUGUUUAUUAUUAUUAAUAAUUUAUGUAUAUAUAUAUAUAUAUAUAUAUAUAUGAUAGUGAGAUGACACCAUGCAAGUAGGCUCCUAAAUAAUUAUAAAUUAUGACGAGAGAAGUAUAAUUAUAAAAUUAAAAAGAUCUUACACGGAAUCACAUACGAAUGUUUGGUAACAAUGUUAAAGUAUUGCAACAAUUUUUUUAUUUUAUUUUUUUAUAAAUUGGAUAAUUAGUAAGCAAAAUGUAAUUAAAUGCAAAUAGACUAAGUGCUUAACAAUAAAAUAAAAUAAUAUUUAAAUCCAAGAAUAUUCCAAAAAAAAAUGAAAUAAAGAAAACAUCGCAAAACAUAGAAUCUGCACAAGAUAUGCAGAUAAAGUCAUGGAAAUGGCCAGAGCGUAGUAUAAAUAGGACCUCCAUGGUUGCCCAAAGGCACAUAACAAACAGCAAUAUUCUACGUAGUAGUUCAUAAAAUUAUCUACGAUGAUGAUGAAAAUAAUGGGGGCUUUGAUGUUGCUAGCAUUGCUGACUUUGGUUGGCGAAUGGUCUGGUCGUUGUUAUGGAUGUUUGGAGGAAGAGAGAAUUGGUCUCUUGGAGAUCCAGUCUUUGAUCGACCCAAAUCACCUUUCCUUGGGAGAUUGGGUGGACAACAAUAGUAAUUGUUGUGAGUGGUAUGGAAUCGAGUGUGAUAACACUACAAGGCAAGUGAUCCAACUCUCUCUUAGUGAAGCAAGGGAUUUCAGCUUGGGCGAUUGGGUUCUCAACGCAUCUUUGUUUCUGCCUUUCAAAGAAUUGCAAAGUCUUGAAUUGGUAUAUACUGGAUUGGUUGGCUGCUUGGAGAAUGAAGGUUAGUUCAAUGUUUCUGCACUUAAUUAUAAUCAUAAAAUAAAUGAAGGUUGGUUGGUGUUUAAUGUCAAUUAUCUUGCUUUGAUGAUUCUCUUCCAGGCUUCCAAGUCCUAUCAUCAAAACUGAGGGAACUUGACCUAAGUUUUAACCGAUUUAAUAAUGAUAAAAGCAUUUUGUCAUGUUUCAAUGGUAACCUUUCCACUCUCAAGUCUUUGGAUCUAUCAGACAAUGGGUUGACAGCUGGAUCAGGUAGCUUCUUUGGUAACCUUUUAAUUAUUUAGCUUUUAUGGUAACCUUCUAUGUUUCAACGGUAACCUUUCCACUCUCAUAUCAUUUAUAUGCUUUUGAGGAACAUCAUGCAGGUUUCAAAGUCUUGUCAUCAAGGUUGAAAAAGCUGGAGAACCUUCAUCUAAGUUGGAAUCAAUGCAACGAUAGUAUUUUUUCAUCUCUAACUGGAUUUUCAUCUCUCAAGUCUUUAGGUCUUUCACACAAUCAGUUGACAGGAUCUGCUAGUAUCAUUAGUAAGUUACAUAUAAUUUCUACCUGACUGCUUUACGUGACAUUCUUUUACACGGUUUCUUAAUCAAGAAAAUUGAGGACUUUAUAUUUAUUUAAUAAUUAAUCAACGAUAGCAUUUCAUCAUGUUUGAUUGCGCUAGCUUUCAUCCAUGAAGAUUUAUAUCUAUAGAGCUUAAUUUUAUCUUAUCCAUAAAUUGUUUUUCUAAUAAGACAUGAAGAGAUUAAAGUGAGCUAGCUGGAUCAAUACUAGCGAGGAUGAUUAAAAAAUACAUGUAUAGAAUGGAUACCAAGUUAUCAAUUCUAAGUGGGCUUUCAUCCCUCAGGGCUUUUAAAAGAUGAGGACUUUAUAUCCAUGAUCUAUUUUAUCACAACUCGAGCUCUAGUUUCAUAAUCGGCAACGUAGUAGUAGUGUUGAAAGGACAUUCUAUCUAUGCUAAGCCCCAUAACAAACAUAUUAAAAGAAUAAAUUAUUUUAAAAUACAUAGUAUUUCAUAAUCUUUAAAAAUAUUAUAUUAUUUAAAACAAAUAAAACCAAAUGAUUGUUCAAAACUUCUAAUUAAUAAUUAACACAAAACACUCAUUAUAUUAUCAUGAAAAAUGAGGACUUUAUAUCCAUGUGAUGAUCAAUUUAAUGAUAGCAUUGUAUCAUGUUUUUUCCCCCAAUAAGAUCAAAAUUAUAUAAUUAAAUAUGUGUUCGUGAGCUCAUUAUAAUUAAAUAUAGCAUUUUAUCAUUUUUUUUAUGUAUAAUUUGAGAAUCAUAUAUCAAUUGAACAACAAUAUCUCAUCAAUUCUAAUUAUCUGUAGUUUCUAUCUAUUAUGCAUAUCAUGAUUAUGACUUACUCUUAGAAACAACUCUCUUGAAGGUUCUGAGAUCAUAUCAUCACAUUUGUGGAAACUCGAGUCAUUAGAUUUAUCACGCAAUCAGCUGACAGGAUCUAUCACUAGUAAGUUACAUUCUCUUUAUCAAGAAAAUUGAGGACUUUAUAUCUAUUUAAUAAUCAAUUUAAUUAUAGCAUUUUAUCAUGUUUGACUGAGCUUUCAUCUCUAGGAAUUUAUAUUUAUAUGCUUUCGUGUAUCAUUUUAAUAUCUAAAAGAUACUUUCAUCAUUAUUUUGACUAUUUCGAGAUAAAUUGUACAGGUUUGUGUGAAUUGAAGAAUCUGAAGCAGUUAGAUCUUGCUAGAAAUAAUUUUGGAGGUUCACUCCCAAAUUGUUUGGGGAACUUGUCUUCUCUACAACUAUUAGAUAUUUCUAAAAACCAGUUUACUGGAAAUAUUGCCUUUAGUCCUCUUACUAACCUCAUAUCCCUUAAAUUUCUCUCACUAUCAAAUAACCUCUUUGAAGUUCCCACUUCGAUGAAGCCUUUUAUGAACCACUCAAGCCUCAAGUUCUUCUCCAAUGAGAACAAUAAACUAGUAACAGAACCUGCUGUCUUUGAUAAUUUGAUUCCAAAGUUCCAACUAGUCUUUUUUAGCUUGUCAAAAACAACGGAAGCACUCCAUGUAGAAAUUCCUGACUUCCUCUAUUACCAAUACGACUUAAGAAUCCUUCAUCUCUCCCACAACAACAUCACCGGAAUGUUUCCAUCGUGGUUGCUUAAGAACAAUACACGAUUGGAGCAACUAUAUCUGAGCAACAACUCCUUUGUUGGUGCUUUGCAGUUGCAAGAUCAUCCUUAUCCGAAUAUGACCGCCUUAGAUAUAUCCAACAACAACAUGAACGGUCAUAUUCCAAAAGAUAUUUGUUUAAUCUUUCCAAAUCUAGGGACCUUAAGGAUGGCUAAGAAUGGAUUCACAGGGUGUAUUCCUUCAUGUUUAGGAAAUAUGAGCUCUUUGGAAAUUUUAGAUUUAUCCAACAAUCAAUUGUCCACAAUAAAACUAGAACAACUAAAAACAAUAUUGUUUCUCAAGCUGUCAAACAACAAUUUAGGUGGGCAAUUACCGACCUCAGUGUUCAAUUCUUCUAGCCUGGCUUAUCUCUACCUAAGUGGUAACAACUUUUGGGGUCGGAUAUCAGAUUUUUCAUUAUAUGGGUGGAAAAUUUGGAAGGUAUUGGAUUUGAGUAACAAUCAAUUUUCAGGCAUGCUUCCAAGGUGGUUCAUCAAUUCUACACGCCUUACAGCAAUUGAUUUGUCCAAAAACCAUUUUAAGGGUUCGAUCGACUUUUGUAAGCUGGACCAGCUUGAUUAUUUGGACCUUUCUGAGAACAACUUGUCUGGAAAUAUACCAUCUUGUUUUAGUCCACCAAAAAUAACCCAUGUGCAUCUAUCCAAAAAUAGAUUGAGUGGUCCAUUAACAUAUGGAUUUUAUAACAACUCUUCUCUGGUUACGAUGGAUCUUCGAGAUAACAGCUUCACCGGCUCCAUUCCAAAUUGGAUUGGCAAUCUUUCAUCAUUGAGUGUUCUUCUUCUGAGGGAUAAUCACUUUGAUGGUGAGCUCCCUGUUCAGUUAUGCUUGUUAGAAGAAUUAAGCAUUUUGGAUGUUUCACAAAACCAGCUCUCUGGUCCACUACCCUCUUGUUUGGGCAAUCUUACUUUCAAGGAAAGUUCCCGGAAAGCAUUAGUGGUUCUCGGAUUUCUUUUAGUAUCCAUAGAAAAAGCUUAUUAUGAAAUAAUGGGUCCACCACUAGUGGAUAGUAUGUACACAUUGGCAAACAGUUUGUGGGCUAACUUUACAGAAGAAGCGAUAGAAUUUACAACUAAAAAUAUGUAUUAUGGUUACAAGGGGAAAGUUCUCAGCUACAUGUCUGGUAUUGAUCUCUCCAAUAACAACUUCAUAGGAGCGAUUCCACCUGAAUUUGGGAACUUAAGUGAGAUACGAUCAUUAAACUUAUCACACAACAAUCUCACUGGAUCUAUCCCUGCAACAUUCUCAAACCUAAAGCAGAUUGAGAGUUUGGAUAUUUCUUACAACAACUUGAAUGGUGUUAUCCCUCCACAACUUAUUGAAAUUACCACACUGGAAGUUUUUAGUGUGGCGCACAAUAACUUGUCAGGUAAGACACCCGAGAGAAAAUAUCAGUUUGGGACCUUUGAUGAAAGCUGUUACGAAGGAAAUCCUUUCUUGUGUGGACCUCCAUUGCAAAACAAUUGUAGCGAGGAAGUAGUGCCAUCGCAGCUAGUGCCUAAUGAUGAACAAGGAGAUGAUGGUUUCAUAGACAUGGAGUUUUCUACAUCAGUUUCGGUGAUUUACACAGUUGUGGUGAUGACGAUUGCAGCAGUUCUCUACAUCAAUCCAUAUUGGCGACGUAGGUGGUUGUACUUCAUCGAAGACUGCAUAGAUACUUGCUACUAUUUUGUGGUGGCUAGUUUUCGCAAGUUCUCCAACUUCAGAAGGUGAAUUUGUUAUUGGGGAGACGGUCGUUCCUAGUUUGUGAUGAUUGUUUGUCUAGCUAUUGGGUGCUUAAUCUGUAGUGUACUGUCUCUAAGCUCAGUCUUUUUAUUUGAUUAGUUAUUUGGGCUAAAUAUAUAAGCUGGACUUGGGUGUGAUUACUCUUUCAACUCUCAAGACUUGUCUGAAAAUAAAUUGCCAAAACCACUACUAAGUAGAAACAAAUUAUUCUAUGCAUGUGUGACAGCACUUACAUCUGCCUCUGUUUCAAGGGCGACAACAGUUAUUCAUUCAAAGCAUUGAAAUCGUAGCAAGAAGAUCCACCUUCUUCAACAGCCUUCAUCAUUCUCUCUUCCCCCCGAUAAAAUCUCUCGUCCCGUGUUUACCCAUGUUUGAUUUUAUCUUUUUUUUAAAUCUCUCCUCCCGUGUUUACCCAUGUUUGAUUUUAUCUAUAUAUUAUAUAUUCAUAAAAAGCUUAAAGUAGAUAAACAUCAAACAUUGAUUAAACAUCUAACAAUGCAAAGCUGAAGUUUGAUUGCGCAAACAUAAAUGGUAGUCAUUAGAAGGUUAUGUUUGAUGUCCCAGACGGUAAAAAGAUGAUUCAACAUGACAGCCUCAAACCCAUGUUUACCCAUGUUUUAAGAAGAUCGUAAGACAGUAAUCUAGUCAAAUAUUUUGGCUUGGAUUUGUAGUAAAUCCUCUGAAAUUUUUGCUACAAUAUCCUCAUCAUUCUCUCUGUCGCACCCCUAAAAAAAAAUAAUUUUCAAUUGCGGGUUCGACUGGCGAAAUUUUUUAUUUUUUUUAUUUGAUUUGGUUCUUUGGAGUCGCCACCUAGUAUUUUGGUCACUAGGAACCCUAACUGGUCUCAGAGAUCGGGUACGGAGACUGGUUGCGUAAAGGGAAGGUAUUAGCACCCCAAAUACGCCUUACCUAAGGUAAGCUGCAUUGUUUUAUUGUCUGAUAAAAAUAAUAAUAAAAAAAAUAAGGUGUUAUUGUGUUUUCCUAGUUGUUGGUCUGUCUAUGGUUCAAGAAAAAUCCUCCUCGGUAAGGAGAUCUUUAUCUUAUCGGGUAAAAAAAAUCCUAACCGUUCUAACGUCCAUACCAAAAUUUUAUUAAUAAUAUUUAGGAAUACGUUUUACGUAUAAAUUUGUAAUCCCAAAUAUUAAAAGAAAACAAAAAGAUUUUUUUAGAAUUUUUGAAAUAUUGGCCUAGUUCUCAUGGCUUGAAUAAACUGGUUAUUAAAGCCAAAAUGCAUGUUAAUACAUAUAUUGUUUUGAAAAUUUUCUUUGUUGUGUGAAAAUAUGAUGUUAUAAUAUUUAUGUAUAUAUAUUGGAGAGACUAGGCCAUAUUUUAAAACAAAAACAAUUUUUAGAAAAUAUUAUUUUUUUUAUGCUUUGACGAAAAUCGGGUAUUUUAAUACUGAGCUUGUAUCCUUACGGUAUAAAAAUACAACCCAAUAUUAAUCCGCUUUUAAAAAAAUAUGCAGAAAAAUCAAUAACAUUUUUAGGGAAUUUUUAGAAAUUUUUUGAAAGCAAAAACAUUUUUUAUUCUGAAAAUCUUUGAUUUUGACGAAAACCGGGUAUUUAUAACACUGGUUUUAUAUCUUUACGGUAUAAAAAUACCAACCAAAAUUAAACCAUUUUGAUAAAAAUAUGCAGAAAAAUCAACAACAUUUUUAGGGACUUUUUAGAAUUUUUUUGAAAGCAAAAACAUUUUUUAUUCUGAAAAUCUUUGAUGUUUUGACGAAAACCGGGUAUUUAUAACACUGGUUUUGUAUCUUUCAGUAUAAAAAUACAAACCAAAAUUAAAACAUUUUUGACAAAAAUAUGCAGAAAAAUCAACAAUAUUUUUUUAAGAUUUUUUCAAAAAUAUUUUUUUUUAUUAUUAUAUUUAUAUAUAUACAUAUAUACACACAUAUAAUAUAAUAAUAUAAUAUAUAAUAUAAAAAUAAUUCGGGCUGGGCCGGCCCAAAUAUCUGGGCCGGACUUGGCCCAGAGAGCUGGUAUGGGCCAGACCUGGUCUGGCCCGUCAGAUACAAGGCCGGGCCAGACAGUCUGGCCCAAAAAAAUGAUGCUGGGCCAGGAUCCACCUGGCCCAGCUACAUCAACAAGGGGGGAAUUAAUUCCCCCUCCUCCCUGCAUGCAGAAUGUUCAUUCUGCAUGCAGGGAAAAAAAUAAAAAACUAACGACAGGGGGGAGAAGAGGUGACCUGGCGUGGAGGAGGCGGUGCUGCGGUGGCGUGGCUUCCCGGGCGGCGCUGCGGCUCCUUCUCUCUUCGGUGUUCGGUUCUCUCUCUCUCUUCGGCCUCCUCUCUCUCUCUCCUCUUCGGUUUUUUUUCUUCUCUCUUUCUUCGGUUUUCUUCUUAUUUAUAGGGGCAGAACCGUGGGGGACCAUCAUUAGUGCGGUGCAACGGCUGGUCGGCCAAUGCUAAAGGUGGUGGGGGCGAGGAGAGAGAGAGGCGCGGGAAGAAUUUUCGAAUUUUUUGUCUUCUGUUCUGUUAAAACGGGGGGAAGGAGGAAGAUGAACAGUGUCGUUCAAAAACACCGUUCUGAUUUUCCUUUUUUUUUUUUUUUUUUUAUGAAACGGCGUCGUUUUGGGUAAAACGCGCCGUUUCAUUUAAAUGGUUAAACUUCAAAUCAGUCCCCAAAUUCGGUCCCGCCCCUCUUGUUGGCCGCCUUUUUCACUUUGGUCCUUGGCCUCUGAUUUAUGCAAUUGAGCCCCUAAUUGAUCAAUAAACUUCCAAUUUCUUCAAUUAAACCCCUGAAACAAAUCCAAACAGCCCCCUCUAUCUUUGCGCCUUCUCCAAAUUGGUCCCUGGUUUCGGAUUUUCACAAUUAAGUCCCUAAUUGGCCCUUAAACUUCAAUAUUUAUGCAAUUGAGCCCCUGAUUUGACCCAAUAAAUUCCUAAAAAAUAUAUUUUGGCCCCAGAACUUAAAUUUCUCCAAAUUAAAGCCCAAAUUGACUUAAAAUCAAUUUUUCUUGCAAUCAAAUCUUCUAUAAAUUCAAAUAAAAAUCCAAUUAAUCCAUAAAAAUCCAAUUAAGUCCAUAAAAAUCCAAUUAAGUCCAUAAACAUCCAAAUUUAGGCUUUUCUCCUCAAAAUUCAAAUUUUCCUUCUCAAUAGGGCUUUCAUCCUUCAAGAAUAUACUUUCAAAAAUUUAAUCCUUGUAUUUUUGAAUUUCUUGACCAAUUUUCUGACUGUUUCCUGAGCGCUUCUGCCUUCUGUUAUUUUUUCUAAACUCUUUUGGCUAUUUAUUUUAUUUUUCAUGGGGACCCAAAAAUGGGUUACAACACUCUCUUCCCCCUCUUUAUAAUACUUACGGAGCAUGGGUUUUGCGCAGUAAGUGUUAUAAAGAUAAACCCAAAACGGAACUCCCGAAACUGAUAUGGUCGAAGCUUGAUUUAUCUGAAACUUUGUCCUUUACAACAAUCCUCCUUAGCCCAAAAACUAUGAUCAAAACUUAGCCAUCUCGAGAUCCUUAUCCAGCAAUCCUCUGAAUUCUUACUUUAGUUUGAUCAAUAUGGAAAUCCAUCCGAGAUCCCAUCUGGUGAUCUCCUUUAACCUGGAAUCCCAUCUGGUGAUUCCUUUACCCAAUACAAAAAAAAUGUGUGUGUGGUCUCAUUUUGAUGGGUGACCUGCCCCGAAAAAAUAUGGUCUCAUUGUGAUGGGUGACCUACCCAAGAAAAAAAAGGAAUGGUCUCAUUGUAUGGGUGACCUACCCAGAAAAAUAAUGGUCUCAUUGUAUGGGUGACCUACCCAGAAAAAUGAUGGUCUCAUUGUAUGGGUGACCUACCCCAGAAAAAAUGAUGGUCUCAUUGUAUGGGUGACCUACCCAGGAAAAAAUGAUGGUCUCAUUGUAUGGGUGACCUACCCAGGAAAAAUGAUGGUCUCAUUGUAUGGGUGACCUACCCAGGAAAAAUGAUGGAGAAUGGUCUCAUUGUAUGGGUGACCUACCCAGAAAAAUAAUGGUCUCAUUGUACGGGUGACCUACCCAAAAAUGAUGGUCUCAUUGUAUGGGUGACUAACCCAAGGGGAAUAAUUCUUAGUAAACUCCAUGCUUUUCUAAGAAAUGGUUUCAAUAUAAGGUCCCUUCUGGCGACCUUCCUUGAUGAAUGUCGAAGUACGAGAUCCCUUCUGGCGAUCUCAAAUAACUUGGAAUCCCAUCUGGCGAUUCCUUUUAUUCAAAGCUGAAAUAUUAGGUCCCUUCUGGCGACCCUUAUCGAAAUAUGAGAUCCCUUCUGGCGAUCUCCUUUAGCCAAACAACUUGGAAUCCCAUCUGGCGAUUCCUUUUAUACCAAAGCUGAAAUUUGAGGUCCCUUCUGGCGACCUUCAUUGGUGAAUAAAACGAGACCCCUUCUGGCGAUCUCAAACUACUUGGAAUCCCAUCUUGUGAUUCCUUUUAUUCAAAACUGAAAUAUGAGGUCCCUUCUGGCGACCUCCAUCGAAAUACGAGAUCCCUUCUGGCGAUCUCAACAACUUGGAAUCACAUCUGGCGAUUCCUUUUUACCGAAUGCUAUCGAUGUCGUUCUUCCUGCUGGCAGGGUUUGAAAACCAUUAUCUUCUCUUCUUGUUGUUCUAGAAUCAACUCAAUGAUUUUCUUCGUCCAUAAUCUUGUUGGAAUGCGCUAAGAUCUCCUCCUGUAACGAUCCAAAAAAAACAUAUAUGCAAUGAUUUAUGAUUAGAUGCAAUGCAUGCAUUCGUACCUGGUUUUGAAACAUAGGCCCCAUCCUCUUCUUCUAGUUCAUGGGACUCCCUCUUAACAUGAACUUGCUUUUGAAGUCGUAUGCUGGAUUCAUCUCUCGUGUUGCCUAUCAUAUUCUUGGAGAAAAGGUCUUUGACUUUCUUCAAGUAGUCCUUUUCUCAAAAUGUAUGACUUGUAUUUGCCUCUUUGUCAUGCUUUUGUCAAAUGCUUUAGCUUGGUUUUCAAAUCGUAAAACUUUUCAUAAAACAUCUCGUCUUGCCCCCUAGUAUAGGGGUGCGAUAUUAGUCUGGGUUUUUAUAUAGAGAAGCAAUUCAUUCAGCCGGUGAUAAACUUUUUUAGUGAGUGAAUAGAUAAUGAUUUUUUUUAUUUCAAAAUGCCAUUGUUAUGGUUGAUAAACUCUAUUCUUUAAAAGACAAUUACAAAGUGACCACUUAAACAUUUAUCCAUGCUAUCAGAGAUAGGGUUGUACUUUAGCUUUUCUUAAAUUUCAUAUUAAACCAUUUUAUUGAUACUUUAUUUGUAACCACUCAAACUUGUUAAAAAAAUGCAUGAACUCAUCAUUUAUUUAAAGGUAAGCUCAAAGACAAACACAAAAAUCUGGCUGACAAUAUGAGCUCUGAAUGCUCACUAGAGAAAAUAAAAGCAAAGACAAAAGCAAAUGACAAAAACAUGCUAAGGCAAAUAAAGUUGUUUUACAUUUUGAAAACUACGAGAAGUUCUUGGGUCAACCCGUUCUGAAACUUCUUCUAGUGUGUGGAAAGUCAACCGAGGCAAUGCUUCAUCUUCCUUCCCCACUUGCAUUUCCUUGUCUUCUCCUUCGAUCUCGCCUUCUUCAUUAUUGACGACUCUUGACCAAGGUUUUCCAACCUUUAUCCCCUAUCACUUUUGUCAUGACCAGGCAAUGGAUUUAAACUGAUAUUGGGUGCAUCUUCAAAUGACACCCAUCCUAUCUUGAUGAGCUUCAACAACUUGUUCUUGAAACCGUAGCACGUUUCAAGACAAUGCCCGGGAAUACCAGCAUGGUACUCGCAAGUCAACUCGGGCUUAUACCAGAUGGGGAAUGGUGGCUGUAGUGGUAAUGUAGGGAUAGGAGCUAUUUGUCCAAUGCUUAGUAAUUUGGCAUAUAUAUCCUUUAGAGGCAUGGGUAAUGGCGGUAGUUGUUCUGAAAUGUAUCUUGUGUUUGGUCUUUGGUGGGUGUUUUGGGUGUCUGACUGGCCAUUUGCUCGAUUAGGGGAAAAAGGUUUGUUAAAGUUUAUGUGGGCCACAUGAGAGGUAGGUAUUUGUGGGUUAUAUGAAUCUGUUAUCUUGUCAUUGGACCCACCUUCGAAGUUGUUAACGGGACCUUUCAUUUUUCUUCCGAAAAAACCCUUUGUCUCCAAUGGCUCAAUUAUGCGUCCAGCUUUAAUCCCUUGCUCGAUUCUUUCCGCUAUGCGUACAACAUCAUAGAAAUGUUGAGAUGAGCUACCCAUUAAAUGCUCAUAGUAGGGUGCCUUGAAUGUAUUGGCGAACAAAGUCACCAUCUCCGUUUCUAUCAAAGGGGGUUGCACAUGCAUGGCCUCGUCCCUCCACCUUUGCGCAUAAGCCCUUACUGAUUCUUGGCUUCUUUUCCAUUGACAUAAGGCUCGUUCGAUCUGGAGCAAUUUCCAAAUUGAACUUGUAUUGCUUAAGGAAAGCCUCAACUAAAUCCUUCCAUUUCUUGAUCUUGGCAUUAUCCAACCUCAUGUACCAACUUAGCGCCGACCCCGAUAGACUAUCUUGGAAAAAGUAGAUCAGUAACUUAUCGUCAUGAAUCACCUCAGCCAUCUUAUUGCAAUAAGAUCGAAGGUGAGUGUUUGGGCAUUCCAACCCAGUGUACUUUAUAAACUCCGGUAUCCUAAAUUUUUUUGGUAUCGUGAUGUUUGGUACCAAGCAUAUUUCAGAUGCUCGCAUGGGGUCAAACCAGUCAUUUCCCUCGACUGCUCUUAACCUUUCUUCCAAGGCUGAUAUCUUGUCAUCGUUCAUAAAUCCGGUGGACCUAUUAUCGGGAGGCCCUUCACAGUGAUGUGAGCUUGAGGGGGCUGAAUGGGAAUGGUAGGUGCAAAGUGCUGCCCCGUCACUGAAUCUGCCCCCAAGUUCUGAGAUAUCCCCGGACAUGAACUGACGGUGCUCCUAUAGGUGGUUGGGUAGAUGUUCCCUCCCCAUUCUUGGCUCUUAAAAGUUGCUCAAGCAGAUUGGUCAGUCGAGAAACUUCAUUUUUCACAGAUUCCAACUCGGUCUGGUAGUGCGACUCUAAUUGAGCUCUUUCUUCGUUUUCCAUUCUUGAUCUGGACCGGGUUUGGUGGACUCUGGAUGUAGGACCUAUGUUUCACGAUCUGUAAUGCAUAUGAUAACAAAAAUGCGUGAUGAAAAUGUGAUGCACAAGUGAUGUGCGAUGAGUAUCCAUUAUUAAUCUUGAUGCAAAUAAGAUACAUAACCUAAGGACAAGCUCUAUUUAUUAAGUGAGAGUGGGUAGUUUUUCUAUCUAGUCUUGAAGGUUCUCAUAUCUGCCCAGUGACGUUCUUCGUAAAGAAGUAUGGGGGCGUUGCAAGGAACAGUUAAGACACGUAUGUCCACCAUUACCAAGCAGGCACUCAGAUAUGAGUUGGGUGUUUCACGCAUUUAAACCCUGACCAAUAGUCUUAGGGUAAAUCGCUAAUUCCCCACUUAACUUAAGGCUUGUGUGUGCUUUUCAAAAUUAAGGCAAGUGAUGCAUGAGACAAUUUUAUACAAUGCAUAAAUAAUACGCGUAAAAUAAAAAACCAAUAUGUAAAUAAAAGGAAAGGCAUAUUAACAAUAAACACAUGAAAACACAAACAAAUCAGACAAAAACAAAGCUUAGUCUACAAGGUCCCCAGUGGAGUCGCCAUUCUGUCGCACCCCUAAAAAAAAAAAAUUUUCAAUUGCGGGUUCGACUGGCGAAAUUUUUUAUUUUUUUUAUUUGAUUUGGUUCUUUGGAGUCGCCACCUAGUAUUUUGGUCACUAGGAACCCUAACUGGUCUCAGAGAUCGGGUACGGAGACUGGUUGCGUAAAGGGAAGGUAUUAGCACCCCAAAUACGCCUUACCUAAGGUAAGCUGCAUUGUUUUAUUGUCUGAUAAAAAUAAUAAAAAAAAACUAAGGUGUUAUUGUGUUUUCCUAGUUGUUGGUCUGUCUAUGGUUCAAGAAAAAUCCUCCUCGGUAAGGAGAUCUUUAUCUUAUCGGGUAAAAAAAAUCCUAACCGUUCUAACGUCCAUACCAAAAUUUUAUUAAUAAUAUUUAGGAAUACGUUUUACGUAUAAAUUCGUAAUCCCAAAUAUUAAAAGAAAACAAAAAGAUUUUUUUAGAAUUUUUGAAAUAUUGGCCUAGUUCUCAUGGCUUGAAUAAACUGGUUAUUAAAGCCAAAAUGCAUGUUAAUACAUAUAUUGUUUUGAAAAUUUUCUUUGUUGUGUGAAAAUAUGAUGUUAUAAUAUUUAUGUAUAUAUAUUGGAGAGACUAGGCCGUAUUUUAAAACAAAAACAAUUUUUAGAAAAUAUUAUUUUUUUUAUGCUUUGACGAAAAUCGGGUAUUUUAAUACUGAGCUUGUAUCCUUACGGUAUAAAAAUACAACCCAAUAUUAAUCCGCUUUUAAAAAAAUAUGCAGAAAAAUCAAUAACAUUUUUAGGGAAUUUUUAGAAAUUUUUUUGAAAGCAAAAACAUUUUUUAUUCUGAAAAUCUUUGAUAUUUUGACGAAAACCGGGUAUUUAUAACACUGGUUUUAUAUCUUUACGGUAUAAAAAUACCAACCAAAAUUAAACCAUUUUGAUAAAAAUAUGCAGAAAAAUCAACAACAUUUUUAGGGACUUUUUAGAAUUUUUUUGAAAGCAAAAACAUUUUUUAUUCUGAAAAUCUUUGAUGUUUUGACGAAAACCGGGUAUUUAUAACACUGGUUUUGUAUCUUUUCAGUAUAAAAAUACAAACCAAAAUUAAAACAUUUUUGACAAAAAUAUGCAGAAAAAUCAACAAUAUUUUUUUAAGAUUUUUCAAAAUAUUUAUUUUUUUUAUUAUUAUAUUUUAUAUAUAUAUACAUAUAUACACACAUAUAAUAUAAUAUAUAAUAUAUAAUAUAAAAAUAAUUCGGGCUGGGCCGGCCCAAAUAUCUGGGCCGGACUUGGCCUAGAGAGCUGGUAUGGGCCAGACCUGGUCUGGCCCGUCAGAUACAAGGCCGGGCCAGACUCAGUCUGGCCCAAAACAAAUGAUGCUGGGCCAGGAUCCACCUGGCCCAGCUACGGAUCAACAAGGGGGGAAUUAAUUCCCCCCUCCUCCCUGCAUGCAGAAUGUUCAUUCUGCAUGCAGGGAAAACAAAUACAAAAACUAACGACAGGGGGGGGAAGAGGUGACCUGGCGUGGAGGAGGCGGUGCUGCGGUGGCGUGGCUUCCCGGGCGGCGCUGCGGCUCCUUCUCUCUUCGGUGUUCGGUUCUCUCUCUCUCUUCGGCCUCCUCUCUCUCUCUCCUCCCUUCGGUUUUUUUUCUUCUCUCCCUCCCCUUGCAGCUUCGGUUUUCUUCUCUAUUUAUAGGGGCCGAACCGUGGGGGACCAUCGUUAGUGCGGUGCAACGGCUGGUCGGCCAAUGCUAAAGGUGGUGGGGGCGAGGAGAGAGAGAGGCGCGGGAAGAUUUUCGAAUUUUUUUGUCUUCUGUUCUGUUAAAACGGGGGGAAGGAGGAAGAUGAACAGUGUCGUUCAAAAUGACACCGUUCUGAUUUUCCUUGUUUUUUUUUUUUAUUAUUUUUAUGAAACGGCGUCGUUUUGGGUAAAACGCGCCGUUUCAUUUAAAUGGUUAAACUUCAAAUCAGUCCCCCAAAUUCGGUCCCCGCCCCUCUUGUUGGCCGCCUUUUUCACUUUGGUCCUUGGCCUCUGAUUUAUGCAAUUGAGCCCCUAAUUGAUCAAUAAACUUCCAAUUUCUUCAAUUAAACCCCUGAAACAAAUCCAAACAGCCCCCUCUAUCUUUGCGCCUUCUCCAAAUUGGUCCCUGGUUUCGGAUUUUCACAAUUAAGUCCCUAAUUGGCCCUUAAACUUCAAUAUUUAUGCAAUUGAGCCCCUGAUUUGACCCAAUAAAUUCCUAAAAAAUAUAUUUUGGCCCAGAACUUAAAUUUCUCCAAAUUAAAGCCCAAAUUGACUUAAAAUCAAUUUUUCUUGCAAUCAAAUCUUCUAUAAAUUCAAAUAAAAAUCCAAUUAAAUCCAUAAAAAUCCAAUUAAGUCCAUAAAAAUCCAAUUAAGUCCAUAAACAUCCAAAUUUGGGCUUUUCUCCUCAAAAUUCAAAUUUUCCUUCUCAAUAGGGCUUUCAUCCUUCAAGAAUAUACUUUCAAAAAUUUAAUCCUUGUAUUUUUGAAUUUCUUGACCAAUUUUCUGACUGUUUCCUGAGCGCUUCUGCCUUCUGUUAUUUUUUCUAAACUCUUUUGGCUAUUUAUUUUAUUUUUCAUGGGGACCCAAAAAUGGGUUACAACACUCUCUUCCCCCUGAUAAAAUCUCUCGUCCCGUGUUUACCCAUGUUUGAUUUUAUAUUUUUUUAAAAUCUCUCGUCCCGCAUCAUCGUGUUUGGCUGUGACAUAGAAACCCCAGAUAAAGAUGAAAGAGAACCAUGCUGCAAGCUUGACAUAUUGUUCUGCUGCAUUGUUGGUAUAGAGCCGUGCAAAUUCAUUGAUUGCAACUGGGGAUUCAGUUGAUUUUGUUGGGACUGCAAUUGAGGAACUGUAGAUUAGGAAUAGGCCUCCUGAAUCUGCUUGGGAAGUUGUCCCAAUUUCUCCUUGAAACUAGGUAUGAUGUUGUUUUCAGAGACCUGUAAGAAUGUUAUCAAGCGCUCCAACAUGGCCUUGAAUACCUCCAGCUUUUCAAGCUGUUCUGACGUCGGUUGUUGCGGAUGAGAGUCAAUCUGGAAAGCAAAGUUAACAUACACGAGAAUUAAAAAUUUGCGUUGAUUCUUUGUAGCAAAAUAUUAGUGAAAAAAAAUGUUUCUAUUCCAAUUCUUCCGUGUCGAUGAAUGGUCGUGGGGCGGUUGGGAGAAGAAAAAAAAUGGCUUUGGGGUGGAGUUGGGGGUUGCUGGCGGCUCCGGAUGGGUGAGGGAGAAGCUGUGCUUGCUGGCGAGAAAAAGGAAAAAAAAACCUGAUGAGGGGGGCUGCUCUCGGUGAUCGGCCGGGAAGAGGAAGAAAAAAGAAUCAGAAGAAGGGGGCGUGUCCGGCGGCUUGGUUUUGGUGAGGGGAGAAAAAUUAGGACUUAGGGUUUCUGGUUUGUGUUCCCUCUUCAAAAUUACCAAAUGACCCCCCUCAUUUUUUUUGAGUUUUCAACCUAUAUUUAUAGGUAAAAGUUUGUUCAAACCUCCAAAUUGGUCCCUCAACUUUCUUUUUUUGUAAAUUUUGAUUUUUUUUGUUUUUUUUUCUUGUAUUUUUAAAAACGAGCAAAAUCAACGUCAAUUCUAUAGAAAAUUACGAUUUUAAAAUGACGCGUGAAAAGUCGAACGCGUUCGAAAAAAAAUUGAAAAUUAAAAUUCUUUUUAAAAGACGUUGAAAAUGCUAAAAACAUUGCAAAUAUAAUAAAACAUAUAUUUUUUUUGGAUUUUUGUUGUUUUUCACUAUUUUUGGAUUUUUUUGAAAAAUUUUAAAAGGUGGGUCAAAAAUUGGUAACAACAGAUGCCCUCUUUACAAUGCUUAUGAAGCAAAACUCCUCAAUGUUUUGCAUAGUAAGCUUUGUAAAGAAUAGAAAAAGAAAAUGAUCUUAUUAUCUUGGGCGACAUGCCCCUUUUGAAGAAAAGUGGUCUAUUUUCAGGGGCGACCGGCCCAAACAAUCACACUGGUCUACUUUCACGGGCGACCUGCCCACACAUACUGAAAGUGGUCUAUUUUCAGGGGCGACCGGCCCACACACUCACAUUGGUCUACUUUCACGGGCGACCUGCCCACAUAUACUCACUCUGGUCUAUUUUCAAGGGCGACCUGCCCACACACUCACACUGGUCUAUUUUCAGGGGCGACCGACCCACACUCUCACACUGGUCUGUUUUCAGGGGCGACCUGCCCACACACUCACACUGGUCUAUUUUCACGGGCGACCUUCCCUUUUGAUUGGGUUUACCUGAGAUCCCAUCUGGCGAUCUAACAAGAACAAAAAUCGGUGUGUAGCUCGAUCAACCUGAAAUUCCAUCUAGUGAUUCUGCGUGAUUAGGCUAAACUGAGAUCCCUUCGCCGAUUCCCUUCAACCAGAACCAAAAUCCUUUCCAAUUAUGUUAAACUGAGAUCCCUUUGCCGAUCCCCUUUAACCAUAACCAAGGUCUGUGUGGUUAGACUGAACUGAGAUCCCUUUGUCGAUCCCCUUCAACCAGAACCAAAAUCCUUUCCAAUUAGGUUAAACUGAGAUCCCUUUGCCGAUCCCCUUUAACCAUAACCAAGGUCUUGUGUAGUUAGACUGAACUGAGAUCCCUUCGGCAAUCCCCUCUAACCAGAACCAAAAUCCUUUCCAAUUAGGUUAAACUGAGAUCCCUUCGUCGAUCCCCUUCAACCAUAACCAAGGAAUGUGUAGGGUUGGGCUAGACUGAGAUUCCUUUCGGCAAUCCCCUCUAACCAGAACCAAAAUCCUUUCCAAUUAGGUUAAACUGAGAUCCCUUCGUCGAUCCCCUUCAACCAUAACCAAGGAAUGUGUAGGGUUGGGCUAGACUGAGAUUCCUUUCGGCAAUCCCCUCUAACCAGAACCAAAAUCCUUUCCAAUUAGGUUAAACUGAGAUCCCUUCGUCGAUCCCCUUCAACCAUAACCAAGGAAUGUGUAGGGUUGGGCUAGACUGAGAUUCCUUUCGGCAAUCCCCUCUAACCAGAACCAAAAUCCUGUGUGUGGUUGGGCUAGACUGAGAUUCCUUUCGGCAAUCCCCUCUAACCAGAACCAAAAUCCUGUGUGGUUGGGAUAGACUGAGAUUCCUUUCGGCAAUCCCCUCUAACCAGAACCAAAAUCCUGUGUGGUUGGGAUAGACUGAGAUUCCUUUCGGCAAUCUCCUCUAACCAGAACCAAAAAUCCUUUGUGGUUGGGAUAGACUGAGAUUCCUUUCGGCCAUCCCCUCUAACCAGAACCAAAAAUCUUGUGUGGUUGGGAUAGACUGAGAUUCCUUUCGGCAAUCUCCUCUAACCAGAACCAAAAUCCUGUGUGUGGUUGGGAUAGACUGAGAUUCCUUUCGGCAAUCCCCUCUAACCAGAACCAAAAUUCCUGUGUGGUUAGGAUAGACUGAGAUUCCUUUCGGCAAUCCCCUCUAACCAGAACAAAAUCCUGUGUGGUUGGGAUAAACUGAGAUUCCUUUCGGCCAUCCCCUCUAACCAGAACCAAAAAUCUUGUGUAAUUGGGAUAGACUGAGAUUCCUUUCGGCAAUCCCCUCUAACCAGAACCAAAAUCCUGUGUGUGGUUGGGAUAGACUGAGAUUCCUUUCGGCAAUCCCCUCUAACCAGAACCAAAAUCCUGUGUGUAGCUCGGUUAACCUAAAUCCCAUCUGGCGAUUCCCUUUAACCAAAGCUAUAUGAGAUCCCAUCUGGCGACCUCAUCCAACUGGAACUAAAAGAAUGUGUAAAAAGUGGUCUCAUUAUAAUGGGUGACCUACCCAAAUGGACAGGAGGAAGAGUGGUCUCAUUCUUAUGGGUCACCUACCCAGGGGGAAAAAAUAUGAAGUGUGGUCUCAUUGUAAUGGGUGACCUACCCAGAUGGACAAAAUAUGAUGAAGUGGUCUCGUUGUGAUGGGCGACCUACCCAAAUAGAAAGAAUGUGAAGUGCGGUCUCAUUGUAAUGGGUGACCUACCCAAAAAUGGAAAAAGUAUGAAGUGUGGUCUCAUUAUAAUGGGUGACCUACUCAGAUGGAAAAAAUAUGAUGAGUGUGAAAAAUAGGACUUACCUGGCGAAGUCCUGAGGGGAUGACAGGAGAAGGGCUGGAAAACUUGGUGCUUCCUGCUAAUUCCAUAUCAUAGGUUUUGAAAACUCAAGGCUUCCCGAUUGCAAAGUUGAUCUUUUCAUUUCUUUGGGAUUUCCCUAAUGGUAGGGUUCAUCCCAUCUUCCCUUUUAUUCCAUGAUCAAAAUUGAUUCUUUAUUAUCAUCACCACAAUGCUUCUUUCUUUUUCCACUAUGUUGCUGGACCUCAUUAAGGAUUUUCCUGUAACAAUUCAAAAAUAUGUGCAAAUGUUUUUUGUUUUUUUUUUUUAGGUUAGAUGACAUGCAUGCAUCCUUACCUGAUUUGAAAUAUAGGUCCCCCCCUCUUUGAUGCUCCAUCGUAAUAGGGUGCCUUUGUUUGCAUUCCAAAGCUUUUCUUGUUCUUUCGAUGUAUUGGCUCAUUCAUGUGCUAGCCAUCCACUCAGCUGUAAAUGCAGUGCCCAUCCCGGGUUGUCUUCGACAAUUACUGCUUGCAUCGUUCAUCAAGCUUGACCCUGCCCCCAAGUGUGGUACUGCUUGAUUCAUCAUGAAGGAUUUUCUCUCCUGGCUUCUUCUGAGAAUUAUCCUCUGAUUGAUUGUGUGCAUCAUGCCAAUACCCAUCAAGAUUGUUAAUCAGUCAUGAACUUGACUCUAGUUGAAACAGUACUCUUCAAGUACAUGUUAUCAUCAGCCUUCUUGGAACUCAUCUAGUCAUCCCGACAUGCAUCUCAUAGCUUGCAGUACAAAGGCUUAUGGUUGUAUGCUCAGUGCUCUUCUCAUAGAUUCCUUUCAACUCUUCUAAUCAGAUUGUGAAAAGAAAUGUCUCAGCCUCAUCAAUGAUGCUGCUUUUUAUCCCCCAUACUCAUGCGGUGAAGCGUUCAUCUGGCUUUAGAACAAGUUGUCCCACAAUCAGUCUUCGAGGUGGGUGCCUUUCCGACAUUCAUUCAGUGCAGUUGUGUGAUAACAUCUAUCUAUAACCAUGUUUCAAAGAAUGACAAUAUGAGAUUGUCCUUUAAGUGCAGCAUGUUCCACGGUCAGUCUUGGUGGUGUGCAUCUUUUCACCAUUCAAUUACAUUCAUAUGUGUAUCUUCAUCGAUUGCUAGCCAUGUUUCAAAAGAUGAUGAUAUGAAAGUGUCCUUCAAGUACAUCCUUGUUUCUCCAUUGCCGACAAGGUUCACUGGAGCAUGGGCCAUUUUGGAAUGACAUUGCCCCCAGUAUGAUCUGAAUGUGCUCGUUCAUUGAUUAUCUGUCUUUGAACAUCAUUGUCUUCAGUUCACUGAUUCAUCAUUUAAUCAUUGCCUCAUAGUUGAUCUAAGCACUGCUUGUUUUUCCUUUUCAAGGUCUACUGUAUUGCCCCAGCUGCUCAACUUUUCAAGGAGUGUCGAGGACUUCAAUGUCAUUUCUAUCAACGAUUUUGCAUACUCAAUGUUCUUCUGUGUUUGAUAAUCUUCCUUGUUCUGGAAUCAACUCUCAUAUUUCAAAGAUCAUGUCUAUUCAAAGUCUAGUUUGUUGAAAUGAAAUCAGAGAUGUCCUUUUUGAAAAUCUUUUGAAAAUCAAGCUUUUUGAUCAAAGACCCAACACACGUUAUUCGAAAUACACAGUCCUUUGAUUGUCUGUAUUUUGAAAAGAAAUUGACCCGUUGUAAGAUUAAAAUGGUUUUUCCAUGGUUCUUUCUAUCCACUUUAAACUCUGAUUUUGGGUAUAUCUUUUGAUGGUCUGUGAUGAGGUGACAUUUUUAUGAAUUUCAAAAAGAUGCUCAGGCUUUAUCAAGAAAGGUUGUUUCUUUUCUUAGCAUUUAUUUUAUCAGCAUGCAUAAUAACCAGUAGCUUAAUUCAUGAAGUCACGACCCUUAUGGAAAAGCUCUUCAAGUUUUGAGAGCGCCAUUUAUCGAUUCAAAUUGCUUGCUUGAUUAAAAAGGGCUUUUAAAAAGCACGUAAUGCAGGCUAUGGUUCAUGGCUAUGAAAGAAAGGAAUUUCACAGGCUCAAAAGGUGUUUGAGGGUUUCAAAGACCUAGGAUCAACAUCAACUAUUCAUCAACUCUUUUCUAUUGUUGUCUUUGUAGAGGAAACGACAUAUAACCUUGUUAACCUCAAAGUUCAGACUUUUCUUAACAUAAGUCAUAAUGCAAAUCCCCCUUUCCUUGAUGAAUAACCAACCUUAAUCAUCUGAUAACAUCAGAGGCUUUAUAAUGGACACCAAAAGUCACGUUUAUAGCUUAGUCUUUUUUUUUUCUGGUAUUAACUUUUGUUGUGCCUUUCCUUGAUUGAAAUUUCUUUUGCUCUUCAUAGACUUGGUAAGCAUUCUCCUUCCUUUAUAUUUGACUUGUCUUUAAGUGAAGGCAAUUUCAACUUCCUCUUUUUUUUCUUUUUCAUAGCCUUCCGCCAAAUUUUCUUAUAUGCCUCCACUCUGUGUUUUCUUCUAGCGCUCUUUCGAUCAAUGGACUUUUAUUCUAAGCCUUUCGUUUUAUCCAUUAAUUAUAUCAAUGUCUCCAACAUAUCUCUCGUCUGCCCCCCAGUGUGGGGUGUGAUCCUAGUCAGGGUUUUUAUGAAAAGAAUAUUCUAUCCAGCUCAAAAUGGGACUACAAGGGAUAUAAUUUUUUAGAAAGUGAAGGGAUAUCAAAGAUGGCCUUUUCUCAUUUCAAGCAAGGUCAGUUAGAACCGAUAAAUUUUGACCCCAUCGAGUGUAAUGAUUUGGACUUGUAAGAAACAUGAUUCACGAGUCCAUAACUACCGAAUCCACUACAUGUCAUUAUGCAUACUGCUAAAACUUAGUUAUAUGAUGUGCGGUUCAAUUUUAUGUGUGAGCUCAAAAUUUGUUCGGUCACCUCCUGUCAUUUCAACAAGAAUCGAGUCAUUUCUGUAAUCAAAACACUUUUAAUCUUCAGGAUUGAUUAACCUUUAUCGCAUGUUGGAGUUUGAUCAAAAAAUUUGUCAGAAUAAAAUGUUAAACAUCUGUUGAUUUCAAAACAACAAAAAGACAAAAGCAAGGCAUGUUUCGUUGAAGGAUGAGAUGUGAUCCCAAAACAAAAUGCAAAAUUCCAAAACAAUAUGAUUGAUUGUUCAUCACCAUUCUUGAAUCAGCUUUUCUGGCAAUAUUUGCGUUUUGCCAAGCACUUUCGAUCAACAUGUCAUUCUGAAGAUGUUCGGGGGGCAAUAUAGCCAAUGACACCCUCCUUCACCGACUCCUACUUGUCUCUUGCUCUCCAACUUCAGGACUCGCUUCUUGAAAUGGUUGAGGACCUCAUCAUGACAUCACAUCUCUUGUCUGGAUUAAACCACCCAGAAAAUGGUGGUUGCAUGGGAUUUGUCGGAGUCAGGUAAAAGUCUGGAAUCUAGCAGAUGCUGGGAAAUAAACUCACAUGAUAACUAUUCAAUUGAAAUUCUUGCAACUAUUCCAUUGAAAUGGCCGAGGACCCCACCAUGACAUCACAUUUCUUGUCUGGAUUAUACCACCUAGAAAAUGGUGGCUGCAUGGGAUUUGUCGACGUCUAGCAAAAAUCUAGAAUCAUGCAGAUUCUGGUCGACAAACUUAAGUGGCAGAGGAAUGUCAAUCUUGGUAAAGACAUUUGAGCAAUUGAUGCUACCGUGAGACCUGGCUAGACCACAUAAUUAAGGUUUCACACUGUCAAAGUCAUCUCCUGAUUCACCUCUCAUCGUUUCUCUGGAAUCCUUGGCAGAACCUUCAAUCUUUCCCAUCUUGAUAGCUUGUUCAAUUUUUGGCAAUCCACACAGCUUCAUUUCAACCUUCCAAUGUUGUUGUUGUUGUUGUUUUAGGACUGUUGGAAACCUCUCAAUAUCUAGGUAAUCCUGGCAGUGCGCAAAAACAAAAAUGUAUGGAAUCUUAUAUUGUCAAAAUUGGAAGAGAAACUGAUGAAUCCACAACUCCUCUAUUUCCUCUUUGAUUCCUCUCGAACGGUGCAGCAAACAAGCACCAAUAGAGGAAGUUCUGCUCUGUUGAAGUUUCAGUCUUCUUCAUGUUUUUUAGUCUAGGCAUGUCUCUUCUUUCUACUUUUGCAUUUUAAAUAUUGGCACUGUUGGAGGAAAAUCAUAGAUGAUCUGAAACUACUGUAUUCCUUCUUGGAUUUCCCAUUUACAGGUCCACAAAUAGAUUCCUGCCGAGAGAUCUCUGCAAUGUUGAAGUUUGAUGUCUGCUCAAUGUUUUUCAAACCAAAUCUGGCUCUUUAACCUGCUACAGUUUCUUCGUGCUGAAACUGAUGAGAGAAAUAUUUGUAGCAUAUGCAAUUAGUAAAUCCCCUCUUGCACUCUCAACUUGCAGCAUCAUAAACAGAUUUUUAUAGAAAGAGCUCUCCCACGUUGAAGUUCGACGACUGCUCAUAUUUUCAUACUAGGCCUGACUCCUCUGCCUAGUACAAUGUUUUGCUCGUGCCACUGGUGGGAAAAAGCUUCAAAGCAUAUGAAAUUAAUACAUUCCCUUUUGCAUUUCCCAUUGGCAGAUCCACAAAUAAAUCUCUACAGGGAGAGCUUUACCACGUAGAAGUUCAGUGUCUAAUCAUGGUUUUUCAAACCAACAUCUUGUGCUGCUGAACUGGAAUUGAGCUCAUAAUUGGGGUAACUUCAAAGCAGACUAACGCACCAUGUACAGGAGGCUAGUAGUUGUUUGGUUCCAUUAGAUGAUGUGGAGGCGAUGAACACUUAACAGUGCAACUGGACAAGAACCAGAGUUGUCAUUAGUUGAUGACUGAAAGCAUUGUUGCUGUUGUUCAUGACUGAAAAGGAGAGCAACUUCAAUUGGACGUGACAAGCAGUGUUCCCACAGAAGACUGUGCAGACAUUCUCUUUCCAUUUGAUGCUCAACACUUGUUCGAGCAAUCUGAGUCUAGCUUUCACCUUUGAUGCUCUCAACCUUAAUCUGAUAAUGAGCCUCUAUCUGACUCUUUCUUCACUUCCUCAUCUUUUCAAUCACUUGCAGCACAGCUUGUGCGGGGGAACCUACCUUUCAACCCGGUACAUGCAUGAUAAAUGUAUGAAUAUGUAAUCUAUAUGACGAACUCGCCCUUCGAGGGGUGACAUAUGGUCGCAACUCUUGUAUGAUGAAACAAGAAUCUUGAUUCUUGCACAAACUCUACAAUGAAAAUUUUCUGAGCGACGGUCAUUAUGUCACCCAUAAGUCUGGAGUUCAAGAUGCUUCAAAAAGGGCUUACUCGGAUGCAAAACAAUGUCUACGGAGCAUACAUCCUAAAGACAGGUUCUAAUCUUUUUAAGUGAGACAAAAGGUAGGUUUAUUAUUUGGUCUCUAAAAAGGGACUCUCGUUGUCCCAGUGAUCGCCCUCGUGGAGGCAAUAUGGGGGCUUGUAGGCAACAAGAUGGCACGUGUCCAACUAUUACCAGUCUAAGCACUCAACAAAGAGUUGGGGUUUACACAAACUUAAACCUUGACUAAAAGUCGUAAGGUAAGCUGCUAGUCCCCCUCCUAACCUGAAGCUUGUGUGUGCUUUAAAAAAUUAACUAUGUGAUGCAUGAGAUAAUUCUACAAAAUGCAUGGACAAAACAAAAAUAAAAUAAGACAAAAAUGCAAAAACAUAAACACAUCAAAUAUACAAAGCUUAGUCCAAUAAUGUUGAAAACAAUACCGUCCCCAGUGGAGUCGCCAUUCUGUCGCACCCCAAAAAAAAUCCUGGCGCGCGGCAUCGGCUGGCGAUUAUUCGUUAUGUUUUGUUGAUUUGGUUCUUUAGAGUCGCCACUAGUAAUUCAUUGAGGGCUACUAGGAAACCUGAUGUACUGGUCUUGUCAGAGAUCGCGGGUAAGCGACUGGUUGUGGUUAGGGAAGGUAUUAGCACCCUAACGCACCCUACCUGAGGUAAGCUGCUUUGUGGACUUGAUGUGUUAAAGAAGUUUUAAAAAUUCUGUUUUUUCAUCGAAUUUUAGAAAAUACAACUUACAUGUAAGUUCAUGAUUCUUUAUCUGUGAUUAAAUCGGAAUAUUAAAUCCUUCUUUAUUCCUGCAAUUUUAUCAUAAUAAAAAAAAAAACAUUCAUAAUAAAAAUACACACCACAUUCACUUUCAAGCUUCGUGGACUUGAUGUGAUACUAAAAAUAAAAUUUUAGCCCAAUUCUAAGGCUUUGAUAAAUCAGUUAUUACUUUUCCAGACUAUAUGUAGAUACAUGUUCUACAUUUCCAUGGAAAAUUCAACAUGAUUUUUAUCUGUCCUUUAGAUAUUUGUGACUAUAAAUUAAAUUCCUUUUUUAUUCAAUAACAUACAUAAAAAAUAAACAUACAAGCCCACACAAACAUUUCUUCUUCUUUUUUUACCGUUCUCUUUCUUUUCUUUUCCUUUUUUUUUUUACAUACACAUUUACAUAAAAUACAAACUAUAUAAAAAAAAAACUCAAAAUUACACAAAUAUUACAUUAAACAAUUUUACAAUUACAAAAUAAUCCAACACUAUUCAGAACAGUGCAAAUGGACUUCUGGAGUUGCCGGAACAGUGUUCAACAGAGCUUUGAGAGCUGGAACAGUGGUGGCGCGUGGAUCUCACGCACCACUGCCACUGGCGGCGCGUGGGUCCACGCGCCGCCGCGAAAAAAAUAGAAACAGGGGGGGUCUGCAACGACCUCCUCCCCCCUUCACUUCCUUGCCGGCGGUGAGAACGGCGUCACCUGCAAAGCCAAACAAAACCCAACAUCCAGUCGAUUUUAAUUUUUCUUUACUUUUCCGAUCUGAUUAUCCCUUCCUUUUUUCGGUGUGUUCUCCUCUGCUGGUGACAGAUCCAGCUUCUGUGGCCGCUGUUGGGAUGUUCUGGCGGCGGGGAUGCUGCUGCGGUGGAGAUGUUUCCUCGGUGGUGAGCAGAUCGGGUCUGUGGGGAGGAGCUGCUGCGGUUGGUGGACGGCGUUGAUGGUCCGGAGGAGGAGGAGACACUGCUGAGAAGGGGAGGGUCUGGUACUGGUCGCUGCGUUCGGGUCGGUUGAAGGCAGUGGAGUGGGCGGUCCGUUCACGGUGGCUGAGAGGGAGGAUCAGCGCUGCUGGUUUGGCCGGUUGGAGAAGAAACAGGGGCCGGCGUGCAGGGGAGGUUGGUGUCGGCUGGGAGAAGAAAAAAAAUGGCUUUGGGGUGGAGCUGGGGGUUGCUGGCGGCUCCGGAUGGGUGAGGGAGAAGCUGUGCUUGCUGGCGAGAAAAAGGAAAAAAAAAUAUGAUGAGGGGGGCUGCUCUCGGUGAUCGGCCGGGAAGAGGAAGAAAAAAGAAUCAGAAGAAGGGGGGGUGUCCGGCGGCUUGGUUUUGGUGAGGGGAGAAAAAAUUAGGAACUUAGGGUUUCUGGUUUGUGUUCCCUCUCCUCAAAAUUACCAAAUGACCCCCCCCUCAUUUUUUUUGAGUUUUCAACCUAUAUUUAUAGGUAAAAGUUUGUUCAAACCUCCAAAUUGGUCCCUCAACUUUCUUUUUUUGUAAAUUUUGAUUUUUUCUUGUUUUUUUUCUUGUAUUUUUAAAAACGAGCAAAAUCAACGUCAAUUCUAUGAGAAAAAUUACGAUUUUAAAAUGACGCGUGAAAAGUCGAACGCGUUCGAAAAAACAAUUGAAAAUUAAAAUUCUUUUUAAAAGACGUUGAAAAUGCUAAAAACAUUGCAAAUAUAAUAAAAACAUAUAUUUUUUUGGAUUUUUGUUGUUUUUCACUAUUUUUGGAUUUUUUGAAAAAUUUAUUAAAAAGGUGGGUCAAAAAUUGGGUAACAACAAAAAUUAUUAUAGAGAGUAAUAUAAAAAUUUUAGUUCACCAUUUGUUCUUAGUAGUGCUAUCAAAAAUCAGAGAUUGAGUAAGCUUGAAAAAUAAAAUUACAGUUACUUUGCUAGCACCAAAGAGCAGGUAAUAAAUUGUUUUAUAAUAAUUUUUAGUCAAUAUUUUAAUUUGCGGCUAUCCGUACAAAAUAAAUCUGAUAGACUUAUCAAAAUUAAAAAUGGUAUUGAGAUUUCUAAAACUAUAAGUGACUAUGCGGAAAAUGAUAAAAAAAUUACUUUUUAUGGAUAUUAAAGCCAUGGAUAUUUUAUAUUAUACAUCGGGCAAAAGUGAAUUUGAUAGAAUUAUAUUAUAUAAAAAUACUUAGAGAUAUAUAGCAUGCUUUACAAGUAAUUCAUAAAGGAACUAACAAGUUAAAAAAUCUAAAAUUAAUAUGCUAAUUUAUCAUUAUGAAUUGUUCAAAAUGUUUGGUGACUUCGUAACUAAAAUUUUAAAAUGACUAAAAUAAUUAAUAGUUUAUUAGUUUGGAUGUUUUUAGUAAUGUUGAAAUUAUAGAGAAGUGAUCAUUAAGUUGAUUUUUUUAUAUGAGUAGAAAUCAGGUCAUUAUAAAUUUAAUAAACUAUUUAAAGUGUUCCAUUGGAAAGAAAAUAGGUGUUGUGAAUUUGAGUCUGUAUUUUUCUCUAUUUUCUUUUUGUUUUUUUUUGUUCGUCCCUUCCUCAAAAUUUAGGGUAUUAAAUUUCUUUGUUUCUUCGGAAGAUGCCUUACUCUUUGUUGAUUGUCUCUCUGUUUUUAGUUGCACUGUUAGGCUAUAUGUGUGUUUAUUGAGGCUUUGGCUGUCUUUUUUGCUACAGUUAUGAGGUUUCUUGGGCAUAGUGUUUUAGUUAGCUUCAGCCCUCUAUUAUCCAUUCUUUAUAGAGGUGGUGUUGUCUUUGUUUCGCACAAGGCGGCAUGUGUCUUGAAAGGAAGUUUACUUGGUUUUCUUUACAUGUGUUUCUUGCAUGCUACUUGUUUGGCAAAAGUCUUCUGAGAGAUCGACCUUUUUUCUUCGAUUGUUUUGGUUAGGCUGGGUGCUUGAUUUGUGUUAGGCUGUUAAAGUUUUUUCCCUUUCUUUAUAAGAAAAAAAUAUUUCUUUUGUGCUUGGGAACACACCUUUGUAGCUUUAGAGAUGAUAGAAAGCUUUGCUUUUAAAGGCAACAUUGUUCUUUAUGGUUUUUUCAACAUGGGUUUCCUUAACAAAAAUUAAGUUUUGCAUGUUUAUUUAUGUUGCUCAUCCAUAUAUAUUGCAACAGGUCUUUCUAGAGGUAACUUGGGUGAGGAAAAAACUUUGUGCCACGAAAAUAAGAGGCUGGAGUUUUAUUUUGCUUUAGAUUCUUCCCUUAAUUCCAACCUUGGUUUGUUUUCAAUUCUUUGGUCUUUCUUUUCAUUAGUCUAUGAUUUUUGUUGGCUUCUUGCUUUGUGUUAGGUUGUACGAGGAUUUUCCUUUUUUUAAAAAAAAAUCAUCUUGUGUUUGGGAACAAGCUUUGUACCUUUGAUGAUAGAAAGCUUUGAUUUUGAAGACAACACUUUUUCUUUAAGUUUUUUCGACUUGGGUUUCCCUGAAAAAUGUCUUCUUUUUGCUUGUUUGUUUGUGUUGGUCAUACAUAUAACAGAUCUUGUUUGUGGCUUGCACAUUGGUUGCUCAUGUUUAUUGAUGAUAGCUUUUAUUAUCUUUUUUCUUUUCUUUUGUAAUUCACAAUAAUAGAGUGGGUCUGAUUAUCUUGGUCUGGAAUUGACAUGAAAAAAAAGAGAAAGAAACUUACAUUCUCUACUUUAGAUGGCUUGAGCAUUGUUCGCUAGAACAACAGAUUGGGUUUGAUUAUCUUGGUCUGAAAUUGGCAGGAAAAAAAGAAAAGGAACUUGCAUUGUCUACUUUAGAUGGCUUGAGCAUUGUUCACUAGAACAACGGAUUAGGCCUGAUUAUCUUAGUCUGGAAUUGGCAGGAGAAAAAAACAGAAACUUGCAUUGUCUGCUUUAGAUGGCUUGAACAUUGCUUGCUAGAUGUUCAUUAAUUUCUCUUUUUGCAAUGAACUCUUGCAUAGUUGACAGAUCAUGCUACAUUAUUCACGCUAUUAUUGUUCUUUAUUGAACAACCAAGAUUAUUGGUUGGAUAAUAGCCACUGUGAUUAGAGAAACUGAAAUAAUUUAUAGUCUGCAAGUCUAUAUAUUCAUUACGGCAGUCAUGUUUUUAUCCAAACAUUGCCAAGAGUCAAGACCAAAGUUAAUCAAUAACAAAAAGAUGAAAAAAAACCCGAAGAUAAAAGUGACAAAAUUCAUAAAACUCAAACGCCAAUAAUGUAAUUAAUGCCAAAUGAUAAGAUUAAAAAAAUCAAUUAAAGAAAAAAUUGAAUCAACUAGUUAACUUAACUUAUCCACGACCUGAGAUAUGAAAUAGAAAUAAUAUACAAAAAAAAAAACCAGAACAAAUAACAAAGUUUAAGCCUAAUAACUCAAGGUUGAUGAUAAAAAAAAAUUAAUUUUCAAAAAGAACUUAAAAAAAAUACCAAACUUAAAACGAGUUGAUAUUCAAAAUUGGUAGAGUGAGUUAUGAGACAGGAUUAGUGUAUUCAUACAGUUUUGACCUGUUUUUUUAUUGUUUUUUUUUUAUUUUUUCAUUCAUGUGGAUAUGACUUUUUUGUUACUUUUUAUCGCAUAUGGUUGUUUCAUAAAAAAAAAAAAAACUCUAGGAAACAUAGUUGUUAAAACACAACGAAGCACAUGACCUAUGUAUGAUAUCAAAUAUCUUAAUCUUAGUUAUCUAUUUAUCAAAUAUUGAUCUAGUUACUAAAUACAUGUAUAGGCAUUUUGAUUUGUGAUUAAAAAAAAACUUAUAUUAAAAAGCACAUUAUAAGAGCCUGCUUAUUUUUUUACUUAAAAAAAUAAUCACCCCGCGGAGCGCCAAUAAAACUAGUUACUUAUAAUAUAAAUAUGUGGGGUGAACACUGUGUAGCCACGCACUUCACCUCCUCCUGUUUUAUAGUGGACACAAUGUUCACUGGUUUUUUAUUAGGUUUUGCUAUAAAUUUAAAGGAAAAUAUGUAAGGUGAACACUAUACAACCAUAUUGUUCAUCCCCUCAUGUUUGAUGUGCUAAGGAUAUAAACCAAGUAAUUGUUUCUUCCUUGAGACUAAGAGUCAUGCGUAGCAGAAUGAGCCUUCCUUCUCUCAUUCUGAUCAAUCAUCUUGGAGAGCCUAUGUUCUUGCCUUGAUCAAGAUCCUAUCUUAGUUAUUCAACACAAUGAAGAAAUUUUCCAAAAUCAUUUCUUGACAUAACAUCUUAGUUAUUCAACCGGUUUAGUGGGUUAAUCCAGUUGAAUUAUUUAUUUUUUAAUUGAUUUUUUUAUUAUUAUUCAAUUAGAUUGAUUAAGAAUUAUAUUUCAUAAUUUUUUUAUUUGCUUUCUAUCAAGAUUCUCCUAAUAUAUUGUUAUAUCUCAGUUAAAAUUAUGGGGCAAUUGGAGUUUAGAAAGGCCUUGCAAGACUGCUAGUGACAUUUUCAUAAUUUUGUUUUGAAAGGUUAUUUUUUGUGUUUUUUUUAGAUUUUUUUUUCAAUUUAACCAUUCAAUAAUAGGUUUAUUAAGAAUUGAGAUUUAGAAUUUGUUUUGAUUUGCUUUAUUUUGGGUUAUUAUGGUCUCAUAACCUGGAUUAUGGAUUUAGAAGUUAACUGAGUUGAUCCGGGUCGAUCCAAUAAGUUGUAUCUCAGUAUUGUUUUUGAAAAUAUCAUUUUAAACUUUUUUGAGUCAAACUCUAUUCUUACUAGUUGUUGUCUUUGGACCCAUAAGUCGAUCGGGUCAUAUUGGUUCAACUCUCACUUUUUUACUUGUGUUUGAAAUUUAAAUUGCAUAAUUUCAAGUUAGUUUAUAUUUAAAUUUGAAUUGAACUUAUGUUUAUUGAGUUUAAUCUUGAAUAUAUAUAUAUAUAUAUAGUAUAAUCUUGAAAUAGCAUGCUGAAAUGCUCUGAAACCAAAAUAUACAGUUUGAAUUAAAAAAUAAAACACUAUCCGGAACGAGAUUGAUAACCUGACGUGAUAUGUUUAAAAUGAGAAUCAUUUAGAGCAACCGUGUACAUAACAAGGGCGUCCCCUUCUCCGUCCAGAGAUUAGGCACUGAAUCUUUCGUUACAGUUAGAGUAGGCGAAGCUUGUCAAUCUUACAAAGGUGGUAGAAUUUGAGGAUUUUUAUUGUUCUUUCUCAUUUUUUGAAUGAAACUGUACUAUCUUACAUAAAAUUUAAAACAACACUGAGAUUUAUACAUAUUCCCUGUUAUUAUUACUUGCUUAAAUGGAAGGAGUAUGGAGAUUUGAAAUUACAAUGAUUGUUACAAACCAAACUUUUAAAACCGACAAUUGUUCGUUCCUUCCAUUAAGCCCACGUGAUUCAGAUGGAAUGCAAUCAAUCCAGUUUAUACCCAAAGGUGGAGCUUUUCUCUUUCAAUGGUAGUCUUCAGAGGGUGGAGGAUGAACGUGAGGUGGAAUCACCAGGUUCACAGGAUUCUAGAAUCAGAAAAGGGAAUCUUCGUUAUAUCAUAACUUACAGUUCUGCUGCAACUGCAGGAUGUAUUGUUGAAGAUGAGGUGCAGAGGAUGUUGUUUGCUGGGUAGGCUUUGGGAAUGCUGAGGACUUGACAGCUUUGACAGCAGACAUUAGAAGCCAGGUGGAUAAAUAGGAAGAUUGCAGAUCGGAAUGCAGCCCAAUAAUUCCAAUUUGCAGUAUAACUUGGUAAGGUUUAAAAUAAUUUAUCAAUGAAGAUUUUAUUCUGGAAUAGUUGUGGGUUGGGUAUGUCUACUAGGAGGGCAUCUAUUAGAAAUACAGUAACGCAUAGUGAUAUUGAAGUGUGUUUCUUGCUUGAAACCAAGAGGUAACUAGGGAUGAAAUAUUACGUGUUGAAUGCCACGUAUAAUGGGGUAAGGAAUUAUGAACCUUGAGAGGAAAAGCCUCUUGAAAUUCUUUCAAAACCACACUUAUUUCUUCAAGUACUUUCUUUAAAAUCAUUUGGGCUUAUAAGAUUAAGUCGUUUUCCUUUCAUAUAUUGGAGUCACAUCACACUCUCAUCAUGGUAAAUUGAGAAAUUAAUAGGAAAAUAUAUAUCUUUUUUUGAUUGCUAUGAAAGUGUUAUUAACCCAUGAUUUUUAUCAAUAAUGUAGUCUAUACCCAGCCUUUUUGUUUUUUUUAGAGGAAUCACCGAUGACCAAACGGUCACGGGUUUGAAUUUUACCAUUCUUAUUUAUUAGUUCUUUAAGAAUAUUAGAUUUAUCCAACAAUCAAUUGUCCACCAUAAAACUAGAACAACUAAAAACAAUAUGGUUUCUCAAGCUGUCAAACAACAAUGUGGGUGGGCAUUUACCGGUGUUCAAUUCUUCUAUAUAUCUUAGAAUAUCUCUACCUAGGUGGUAACAAUCUUUGGGUCAGAUAUCAGCUUUUCCAUUAAAUGAGUGGAAAGUGUGUACUGUAUUGGAUUUGAGCAACAAUCACUUUCCAGGCAUGCUUCCAAGGUGGAUAUAUAAGAAGAUUGCAGAUCGGAAUGCAGCCCAAUAAUUCCAUUUUGCAGUAUAACUUGGUAAGGUUUAAAAUCAUUUUGUGGGUUGGGUAUGUCUGCUAGCAGGGCAUCUACUAGGAAUACAGUAAUGCAUAAUGAUAUUGAAGUGUGUUUCUUGCUUGAAACCAAGAGGUAACUAGGGAUAAAAUAUUAAGUGUUGAAUGUCACGUAUAAUGGGGUAAGGAAUUAUGAACCUUGAGAGGAAAAACAUCUUGAAAUUCUUUCAAAACCACACUUAUUUCUUCAAGUGCUUUCUCUAAAACUUUCUUAGCCACUAAAGCAAAUACAACAAACUUUUCAUGAAUCUCAUUCUCAAAAUCAUUUGGGCUUAUAAGAUUAAGUCCUUUUCCUUUCACAUGCUUAUUUUUUCAUUAAUGUUGUUAAGCCUUGGUGGUAGUCCAACGAACUAGAUCUUUCUACUCUUAAGAGUGAAAUAGUAAGAAUUUGACAUACCAAAAAUGAUUAUGUCCAUAUUACAGAGACAUUGUAUACCUAACAUAUUCUACAUUUAUUGGAGUCACAUCACACUCUCAUCAUGGUAUAAAACUUGAGAAAUUAAUAGGGAAAAUAAAUCUCUUUAACUGCUAUGGAAGUGUUAUAUAUUAACCCAUGAUUUUUAUCAAUAAUGUAGUCUAUAUCCAUUUAACUUAUCUUUUUUUUUUUUAUUGGAGGAACCACUAAUGCCCAUUUAACAUUGCAUAGUUUUUUCCCUCCUUAGAACCAAAGAAAGAUAUGAUAUGUUUCUCAAUUUUGGUAGCAACAGUGGAUGGGAUAGGAAAUAAAGAAAGAUUAUUUAUAAUUGAGUUAAUCAAGCAAUAGUUUUCCACGGAUGUAUGAGAUGAAGAUGCAUGAAUAGGCAGACCCAAAUACUUAAAUGGCAUCCCUUCCAUCCUUCAUAUUAGAUUGCUAGCAGUUGAAGAAAUAACAACAUCAUCAAUUCUAGUUCUAGUGAUUGAACUCUUGUGGAAAUUAACCUUCAGCCUAGAAAUCAACUCAAAACAUCACAUAGUUCUUUUGAUGUUUGAAGAGAUGGAAAAUCAUAUGAACUGAAGAUGAGAGUAUCAUCUACAAACUGAAAGUGAGUAGUUUUCAGUUGAUCAUGACCAAAACAAAUACCUUUUAUGAGUCCCAAAUCACAUCUCUUUUUAGCAUUCUACUAAGACCCUCAGUCGCUAUAUUGAAAAGAGAUGUUGAUAAAGAGUCCCCUCUUCGCAAUCCCUUUUCCAUAAAGAACUCUACAAGAAUUGAAAGUUUUGUUGUCGAAAUACAUUAUUGUAUCCAUCAUCUCCAUCGUGAACCAAAACCCACACAAGCCAUAACUGUCGAAAUACCUGGUCAGUAAUUGUUGUGCGUGGUCUAGGAUCGUGUGUGAUCUCCAACUCUCUCUUGGGGGUGCUGGGGUUAAGAAGCAGAAUGAUAACAGCAGAGGAGAGUAAGAGACGAGAGAAAUGAGAUCGAAAUUAGACUGCAAUCUAUCAAUUAACUCUAACUGAUUAACAAACUUUGCUAACCGAAUGUACUCCAACUAACUAACAUAAUAUUAACAACUAAACAACAGGUUGCGUGCUCCUGACGUCUCUACUUCCCGCUCUUUUUUGCCUCCCUAAGGUAGUCUUCUUCUUGUUGCAACUUCUCUGACUAUUCUGUCAUCCAGGUACGUAACAAUACCCUUCCUCAGAAAGAUUCACCUUAAUGAUAAUGCAUAAUGCUGUUAUCUAGUUGUUCCACUUCUUGGGACAAUGCAUAAUGAUGCACCUUAAGUAAGUCUCCAGGCAUUGAUUCACUCUCUCGGUCUGGCCAUCCGUUUGAGGAUGAUAGAAGGUGCUUAGUAACAACUUUACGCCCAGAUGUCUAAACAAUUCUCUCCAGAACAGGCUUGUGAAAACUCUAUCUCUGUCAGUUAAUAUCAUGGCAGGCAAGCCAUGGAACUUAUAAAUGUGAUCCAAGAAAAACUUAGCCACCUCUUGAGCUGUGAAGGGAUGGGCUAAUGUGAUAAAAUGCCCAUACUUUGUAAAUCGAUCAACAAUGGCAUAGUGGUUGCACCCACCAUUGACAAAUAUAUUAACUCCCAUGUGCAGCUGCUGGAAAGAAAAAGAGAAGCUACCAUUUGCCUAUAAAUAGGCACUACGAAAGAGAGCAAAAUGAGAGAGAACGUGAGAGUGCAAACAAGAGGAAGAGAGAAAGAGGAGCUGCUGCCAUGGCAGCAAUGAGAGAUGGGAGUUGAGUGAAUGUGAUCCUCCUCCAUGUAUUUAUUGUAUCCUUUCUCUAAUCUCUAAAUAAUAUUAUCUCUCCCGUGGAUGUAGGCGGUUUUGUCGAACCACGUUAAAAAUUGUGUCUCAGUGUGCUUACCCCUCCUAUGAGCAAAUAUCAAUUCAUCACCGGUCGUCGGUUUCCGCCCAACAAUUGGUAUCAGAGCAUUUGGUUUAAAGUGGUGUUUGAUUUUUGCUCAAAAAUAAAAGUUGUUAAAAUUGUGUUUUGACCAUACCACCGUGUAGAGGAGGAAGAUACAAUGCCACUGUUGAAAACCAUGUCAAAAUCGGACGUCGGAAUAGCCUUCACGCGCCGACGAGGAGGCUGGCCACGCGUCACACGCGUCUUCGUUAUUUGCAUUUUGCACACUUCCCUUGUACUUGAAAAGAACCUUGGUCACUCUAAAUAAAACACUUGUCAAGAGAAUUAACAACAGAUGAGAACUUCUACAGAAUGACCAAUGAGGAAGUGUGGACACACUACACACACGUGUACUAGCAUGAAUCCACAAACUUAUGCAUGUGUAUAUUCAUGUCUAGAGAAUAUCCAAAUUAUUGAACCUAGCAUUAGCCGAAUACCGUACGGCAAUUUUCUUGAGUUCUUGUAAUCCCUCCUGACCAGAAAACGGAAGAUGCCUCUUUAAUGUCUCCAUUCUGCACAUGUAAAACAUUGCAUUUAAUUUUUAAUGACAAGGCAGGUAGAGAAGUUAGCAGUAGUGAGAAAGAACCGUGAACUCAUACACCACACCAAUAUCAGAAAUAUAUACAACAGAAUCAUUAGCAAAAAGUAAAAACAAAUAACGAUAUAGCUGAGUGUCAGUCAAGUAAUAUAUGGCAUCAAAAUACAGACAUCUAUUUUUACUUCCUUUCCCCGUAUUAUUCCAGAGGUAGGAGUUUACUUGGCCACCCUUCUGUCUAAAAUUUUAGUUACGAGCUUCAUGGUUAAUUUUCUUGAACUGGAAGAACCUUCCAUUUAUGGCUAUGGCUAUGCUCCAAGAUAUAUAAGUGCAUUAGUUGCAAACCAGAGGAACUCUGUAAAAACAUUACAAUAGCAUUUACACUGAGUAAGAAAACUUUUAUACGUGCACUGUAAUUGACAAAGAAAAGAAGAGAAAUCCUUUUAAUUUAUGAAAAUGCAAUGAGUUCACCUUAUCUCACGCGGCAAUAUAUACUCUACAGUGCUCAUUGGAUACUGCAAGUGCCAACAGUAGCUGUCUAUAUGAUUUUGGAUGUAGAGAUAUCACCAAAACAUUCAACUUUAUGCUGAGAAACUAGGAAACCAUACACUAUUGUGGCUAAUUGAUUUUUGUAUGCUGCUUUUGUACUUUAAUAUCACUAUCAUUUCAAUCCUGUAGAAGUUAAAGCAAAUAGAGCCCAAAUCCAACACUAUUCAUUUAAGUUCAGUUGCAACUCAAGGUUGACAUUGAAACACCAAUGCUCAUGGCAAUAGAUUAACCUUGAAAUUUAAAGCGGAACAAGCUUCAUGCAGCCAUCCAAGAGGUCAUCAUCAAAAGAAGAUGUUACACAAGAAGUUCCAACAAAAAUUACUUCCCAGCACUUUUUAUUCCCUCCAUUCACUUCUUGUGAGAAACAAGUGAAAAAUGAAAAAGACAAAAACAGAGGUGUAUGAUACUUGAGGUUGCCUCAUGGCAGUCCUGCUGAUUUUAAUUAACCUUUUGCCCUUCUCUUUUUCUUUCAUUUAAAUACAAGAUAUACUAUUUUGCAGCACUUGCACAUAUUAGCAAACAGAUAUUUACAUUUUGUUGACUAUUCUUUGCCGUGAGUCAGGCUGCAAUUGAGUUCUCCAAUCACCUGUGUCCAUCACAGGUUCUCCGCCUGGGGCAGUGGGCCUCCAAUUAUUGGCAUCCAUGGGGUUUUGGCCAACCAAAAAACUAGCCAGCUAGUUCAUAACUUGCCGCACCAACAGAUGGUGACUGUUGGUAAACCAAGCCAUAGAGAAACUCACGGUGCUUCAAUUUUAACUUGAUGUUUUCUAGCAACACUUGUGAUACAUCAUCGAUGCAAUGUUUACAAUGACAAACUUGCAUUUGUAUUCAUUGUGGUUUUAGGUUCACAGAUUCUGAUCAAAUAGAUAUUUAAUGUUCCAAAAAGAGAUUGUCUGGGAUGUUUUAAGCUAGGAAAAACAAGAAGAAAAGGACGAGCAUUAACCAUGAAUAUUUCAUGUUAUCAUCAACUCUAAUGAGCAGACUGAUAAGAAUCAACUUAACAACUCUUGUUGAAAUAAGAUUAAAUUUACAGGCACAUCUUUCUCGGAAUAGACAACACAAUAAUCCUGACCAUGCUCGACCUUGAGGUAAGUUAUAAAAUGUUCUUCCUAACUAGAUUUGUUGUUAAAAACACAAUAAUUUUGAAGAAUUCAGUAAAUUCCAAAAAAGAAGAAUCAACCAAACAGCUCAUUUUUCGGCCAUUCCGGCAGUAAUAUCUCUUCCACUCCAGCUGCUGCAUAAACUAAUUAACAAAUUAUCGAUCGAGCCUAAAAGAUUUGAAUUGAGUUCUAUUCUCAACUUAAAAAUAAAAUAAAUAAAAUAAAUUUGGGUUCAGAUCAGGGCUGAUUUUACAACAAAAACUGUGAGAAAAAUCGGAUAAUAUCAUGUAAAUUAAGGGGGAAUUGAAAAAUAAAUAUUAGAAUCGGUGAUGUGCGUUUCUUUGAUUGCGUUCACGAGCAGCGAUUUUCAUCGGAUCCUUUUAUAUUUUUUUAAUUUACUUAUUAAAAUCGAAUUGCGUUACUAGCAGAGACUUAUCGGAUCGAUAUUUGUUUUUUUAUUUAAUUAUUAAAAUAGAAUUUCUGUCUCUGAAUAAUAAUUACAAUAAAUAAAUGAAAACACCCAUAAAUUUUAAAAACAAAGCAUGAUAGAAAAGGAAGCACCUGGCAGAAAUCUGAAGCCUUAUUGGAUGCGGUGGUUUCCGAGAGGCGGAAGAGGGAGGGAGAGAGCUCGGGCGGGGAGAGGUGAGGAAUGGUGUCCCAAAGUGAAAUAGAUGACUUUAUUCUUUUCCAGAUUCCUUCUAAAAAAAUUAACAAGUAAACACUCAUAUUGGCCAGUAGUGCUAUAAAGAAGACAAAGUGGUAUAUCCACUUUUUCAUCAAUUACUUUAAGAUUUUUGGAAGAUAUGACACGAGACAAAGAAAAUGAUUGCUAUUAUCGACAAUUUAUCUGUUACACACCACACACACUUUGUCUUUAGCUAUAUUUUUUUACAAGGAUCUUUAGCUAUGCAUUAGAGAUGAACCUCAACUUCUUGAUUUUCACUCGUUUUCAUCCCAUUUAAAGAAGUUUAAGUUUGAAUGCUCAUUAUACAAAUUCUAAUAACAGGCAGCUAAAAGGGCUUGUCGAAGCUUUAUGUAAUGGCCACUACCCAUCACCAGAACAACCUCAGGAUCAUAUAUUCUUAGGUGCAAGAGUGCCCCACACUCUAUAAUGGGUGGCAAGCUCCUUCCUUUUCACGUGAUGAUGCCCCCCCCCCCCUUUCUUUCUUCCUUUUUUUUUUAAAAAAAAAAUUCCUUUUUAUGCUUAAAAUCCACCCACUAAUGGGUCGAUGAAGUGACCACUAACAACAACGCAGAUAAGAUGUUGCUUGUUCUUACAGGGAGAGGAAGUCCAGCUCCAGACAGCAGAAGGGAGAUCGUUUUCCUACAUCUUCAUCAUUAGAACACAGCAAUAACUCAAAGCUCUACCAUGUCACCAUCGCUUUUGAUUGCUAUCUUCAGUUGUUAUACCUACAAAUCCAAGAACAAUGAAUAACUCAAACGUUCAUUUUUUUAUUUUUUUUUGCAAAAUAGCACCUAGAACAAGAAAUAACACAAUUCAAAAUUUAUUUAAAGAAAUAAUAUAUUUUAACUAGUCACAGAUUGCGACUCUCUUAAGAUAAAUUGUCCUGGAUAAAUUGAAAAACUACUUUUAAGUUUUGAAUAAUUAAGUUAAUUAAUAGUAAUAGAGUACUGUUAUUAUUGCCAAAUAAUAGUAAUAGAAACAGAGGAGUCUGUUAAAUAUAGCCGAGAGAACACAAUUGACUGCCCACCAGUUAAUGGGGUCUGUCCUCCAACCAUAUCGGCCUUCCUCUCUCCUUCCAUAUUUGAAGUGUCAUUUCCUCCAUCUUUCCCUUCUUCAGGCACACGGUAAUUCGUCUGCUGUGUUGCUUGGGCCGCAGUGAUGAAGUGAUAGCCAUGACUUGAUGCCUCUGGAGGGCUUUGGAGAAGAGCAUGAUUCUGUACCAGCAAUCAAACAUCAAGACCUGAGAAAGUUGUGGUUCCGUUGAUGGAGCAAAUGACAUUGCAAAAGGAAGAGAUGUCUGAGAUCUUAAGAGUUGGUGUUUGUGAUUAUUCUGAUUUUGCAUCAGCUGCCGCUGCUAGUUCCGCAGGGAAUGAUUCUGCUGAUGAUUUUGCAAAUGGUUGGAUCUUGAUGACAGCUGCUGAUUCCACCUAAUUCACUCCCAUGUGGUUUAUGCUGCUGAUUCUGCAAAUGCUUCUGGGAUGACGAGGAGCCACUAGAAAUACUUGGAUUUUGAUAACCCUAUUUGCUUUGCUGUGUCUGUACGAAUGGUUGUUGCUGUCGCUGAAGCUGUGAAGGAUGAAGCAUUCAAGAAGAAUAAAAUUGAUCCAUUGAAGAAAGGCAUAGCCUGAGGAUGGGUUCCUUUGUAAGCUGUUGUGGCCCCCAUUCUGCAAAUUAGCCAGGGAAGUUUGGGUAGUUGAAGCUCAUUGCUGUAGCACCAGUUACUGCCGAUGUCGUGGCAUUUAUUGAAGCAGAACUUUAGAAGCUUUUACUGCUGCAGUAGCUAUAGAGGAGACUUGAUCUUCAGGUAGACUCUAUAAAGUGUAGGAAAUUGAAUCUAUCAGCCAGACAUCAUUCCAUAAGCUAAUAUCUCUACCAUUGCCAACCAAACCACAAACUUCUUUCUUUGCAAAAUAUUUUGAAGUCCCUCGUCCUUAUAAAAAGUAAUGACAUUCCUGGACCAUGUACUGCCCUUUAAAUUAACACAAACUAAAGGCAUGUUCAAAUAUGCUUUUUUUUUUUUUUUUUUUUUUGGUAAUCGGGGUGUCCGGGCCAGCUUGCGCGCACCACAACUAAUCCCCGGGUUCACUGAACAUCCUGCAAGCCCAAUGAGCAUGUAAGGCACCACGGGGGUGACAGACGUACACAUAGAGGGUCGAACCCGGGAUGGGGGCGGAACAAGUCACACGAUUGACCACAACAGCUGGACCCUCAAGUGUAACAUCUUUUCAUAGUCUUGUAUGAGACCUCCCAAACCUCCAUAGCCAUUUGAAAAAUUAACAAGGCUUUAUUUUUAUCAAUAAUGUAUUCUAUACCCACUUUUUUUGUUUUUUUUGGGAGGAACCACUAAUGCCCAUUUAACAUUGCAUAGUUUUUUCCCUCCUUCCUCCUGAGAACCAAAGAAAGAUAUGAUAUGUUUCUCAAUUUUGGUAGCAACAGUGGAUGGGAUAGGAAAUAAAGAAAGAUUAUUUAUAAUUGAGUUAAUCAAGCAAUAGUUUUCCAAACGGAUGUAUGAGAUGAAGAUGCAUGAAUAGGCAGACCCAAAUACUUAAAUGGCAUCCCCUCCAUCCUACAUAUUAGAUUGCUAGCAGUUGAAGAAAUAACAACAUCAUCAAUUCUAGUUCUAGUGAUUGAACUCUUGUGGAAAUUAACCUUCAGCCUAGAAAUCAACUCAAAACAUCACAUAGUUCUUUUUGAUGUUUGAAGAGAUGGAAAAUCAUAUGAACUGAAGAUGAGAGUAUCAUCUACAAACUGAAAGUGAGUAGUUUUCAGUUGAUCAUGACCAAAACAAAUACCUUUUAUAAGUCCCAAAUCACAUCUCUUUCUAGCAUUCUACGAAGACCCUCAGUCGCUAUAUUGAAAAGAGAUGUUGAUAAAGAGUCCCCUCUUCGCAAUCCCUUUUUCCAUAAAGAACUCUACAAGAAUUGAAAGAGACGAGAGAAAUGAGAUCGAAAUUAGACUGCAAUCUAAUUGAUUAACAAACUUUGCUAACCGAAUGUACUCCAACUAACAAACAUAAUAUUAACAACUAAACAACAGGUUGCGUGGUCCUGACGUCUCUACUUCCCGCUCUUUUUUGCCUCCCUAAGGUAGUCUUCUUCUUGUUGCAACUUCUCUGACUAUUCUGUCAUCCAGGUACGUAACAAUACCCUUCCUCAGAAAGAUUCACCUUAGUGAUAAUGCAUAAUGCUGUUAUCUAGCUAGUUGUUCCACUUCUUGGGACAAUGCAUAAUGAUGCACCUUAAGUAAGUCUCCAGGCAAUGAUUCACUCUCUCGGUCUGGCCAUCCGUUUGAGGAUGAUAGGAGGUGCUUAGUAACAACUUUACGCCCAGAUGUCUAAACAAUUCUCUCCAGAACAAGCUUGACAUAUUGUUCUGCUGCAUCUUUGGUACAGAACCUUGCAUAUUCAUUGAUUGCAACUGGGGAUUCAGUUGAUUUUCAUGGGACUGCAAUUGAGGAACUUGAGAUUGGGGUUGCUGCAUAGGUUGAAUAUGAGGUUGGGGAAGUUGUCCUUGCUGUAGAUUAGGAAUAGGCUUCCUGUAUCUGCUUGAGUUUAGAAAACCUACAAUCUGCUUCAGGGAAAAAAUGUAUGGAAAUACAGGGAAAAAAUUGAAAGGGAGAGAUUUGCAAAAGAAAAAAAUGUCGUGUCAGUACCAAGAAAAUAACCCUCUUGACCUAGAAAUCUGAAUAUUUACCUUUAAUCAUCUUAUCAGUAAUUUAUCGUUUCUUAGUUGCUGUAAUCAUGGAACUUACAAUGCUUCCUAACUAAUCACAACCAUAGCUGAAUAAAAUUCCCUUGUACCAAAUUCCAGGAGACCUUUUCCAUUGACAUCUUGCAAGACAAUGACAUACAUGAACAGUAAGCUAAAGAAAUUACCUUUUGAUAGAUCUCCUCUUGCCAAUCAGCACCAUUUGCAUGUCCAGUCUCUGCUGUAGAAUGUAGGGAUGCUACAAAAAUUUUGAUACAGCCAACAAAAGAUUAGAAUGCAUGUAUGUUUUGAAUGUUUUCUGCACACAAGGGUAUUUCUGUAAUUUUCACACUUGCUGAAAAUUAUGGAAUAUUGUAGGUCUUGGUUUUAUUUCUAUUUAGUAUUUUAUUGUUCCUAAAGAAUAAGGAGCUUUAAUAGGUUUUCCCUAUCCUAGAUAGAACCAUUAGUGUUUUCUUACAUAGGAAUACAAGUCCUUUUUGGACUUGGAGUACUAGGGACACUAUCUCAACGUUAUGUAAUCAUUCAAACAGACAGAGAGACCCCCCUCCAACAAGUGAUCAUUAUAUAUUAAAAAAAAAAGGCUCAAACAAUUUAUCAUGGAAGAAAAGCACAAAAGUGACACUUUACCUCCUAACCAGGAAAAUCUUUAAAAUAAACCAUCUCUAAUUUCAAACUCAAACAAAUCGAGAAAAAGACGUAGUAUACUUCCUUAGGUAUGAGGACAAAGCUAUGAUAAUAUUUAAAUAUUAUUUAGUCAUUGCAUUGCAUUGAUAAUAUAAAUAUUUUUUUCUUUCUUUUCUAGAAACAGACAACCUAAAGAUCAAUAAAUCCGAGAAACGAACGACGAACCAACAAACUGACGUUACAACUAUCGACUAGUGGCUCAACGUCGCAUCACUUUAGCUUUACCUUUCGAUCAUUUUUCUCUUAUAUGUUAUUUAAUUUAAUUGUAUAUAUUUAUAUACUUAUUCACUAUGAGCUUGAUUGAUUAGAUAACAAAAGAAAUUAGCAAAAUGUCCUAAAACAAUCUUUUAUCCCGAGGAUCCAUCAAAUUAUUUUAUAUCUAUUUAUUUUACUAUACUGUGUUAUUAUGCGAGUUGAAUUAAAAAAGAAUUGAGUAAAAAAGAAAUAUUCAGAUUUUUAGUAUUUAUUAAAUCCGAUUCAACAAAUCAAUAUUAAAAAAUUUCUGAUCUAAUUUCUUAUCUUGGUUGAGUUUUAAAUUUAACUAUAUGGAUGUUGUUUUAAUAUGAUUUAGUCAAAUUAACAAGUCUGAAAACAACCCAAAUAAUAAAUAGAAACAUGGUCUAACUUAAAUUUUUUGUUAAAUAUAUAUGUUUUUAUUGAAACGACGACAUAUUAGAUUGAUCAUGGCUUCGUGGCUUAACUUGCUGAACUCGUUAUCCUGGUUAUGAACUCCAUUAAAUUUAAUAAAUCUAUUUAUGCUUACUUUCUAUAAAAUUAUUGUAAUUUCAAACAAACAUCCUGGUACUUAGUUCAUAUUUGAUUUUACAAAAAUCUAUUUCAAAAUUAAAUUUUCCAUUGAGUUUUUGCUAAUCAAUAAGGUUUAAGUUUCUAAUAUUAUAUUUCUAGGUCAGAACCAAUUUUUUUAUUAAAAAAGAAUGGCAUUGUUUUGUUUAAAAAAUUUAUCUAAGUUAACCCAAUAACUCACAAAUUGACCAACAGUUCAACAAAAUAGAUUUUUAACAUGAUCAAAACCAGAACCAGGUUGGACGACCACGCCAUAAGUUGCAUCUUAUUUUUGUCUUUGCAUUACAAUAAUACUUACAAACAAGAAAUAAACUAAUUUGACAAGUCUUGCGAUUCACAUGUAUUAAAACCCACAUUACACACGGAAUAGACAGCACAAUAUAACCCUGACCAUGCUCGACCUUGAGGUAUGUUAUAAAUUGUUCUUCCUAACUAGAUGCACAGCUACGCCUUUGGGAGGGAGGGAGGGAGAGAGAGAGCUCGGGCGGGGAGAGGUGAGGAAUGUUGGACCAAAGUGAAAUACAUGACUUUAUUCUUUUCCAGAUUCCUUCUAAAAAUAUUAACGAGUGAACGCUCGCUCGCUCGCACGCAUAUCAUAAUUUUAAAACUCGGAUCGAACCAGCUGGUCAACCCGGGACCCGGCUGACCCGGGCAUGGAACCGGUCCGGGUGAAGGCCAAAACUCGCUUGGAAAUUGGCCCGGCCAGACCCGGGCCCAAACCCGUUGACUUUUAUUUUUUUUUGUUUUUUUUUUGCUAAAACGACGUCGUUUUGAUUUUUUUUAAAAAAAUAAAAAAUAAAUUUUGACCCGGCCGACCUGGCAACCCGGUCGAGACCCGGUGACCCGGUCAAAACCCGGAACCCGGGCCUUGGACCGGGCCGACCACCGGGCCGGGUCUUAAAACUAUGACGCAUAUGCGUUAAAUUCUAUUUAACUAGUAUCUGUAUUUUUGUUAAACAAACAGAUUAAUCCCUCAAGUUGAUUUAAAUAAUUAACUGAUCCUUUAAUCACAUUUUACCGUCAAGUUAAUUAGCGGCACAAACUAAGGAAAUAUUGCUGACAGCUCAACAUUUUACUAACGAAAAGUUAAUGAAGGGACCGAAUUGUAGACAUUUAAAAGUAUAGGGAUUAGUUAGAACAACUAGUUAUCACUGCCUCUGAGAAUUAAUAUACAGCUCAGCAUUUUGUUGAAGGGACGGGCAAAGGUACAUUUAUUUCCGUUAACUUUCUAAUAUUAGAUCUUGCUUCUGUACAAUUUAUUUUAAUAUAUUAAAUAAUAUAAAGCACAAAACAGAUCAUAAUAAAAUACAAGUUGUGAUAUAUUUAUUGCACAUGACAGUCUAUAAAUGAAGUGUUUGGAUCGAGGUAUAACAUGUGUUUUUUUAAUUUUUAAUUUUUAUUUUACUUAAAAUUAAUAUUUUUUAUGUUUUUAAAUCAUUUUAAUGCACUGAUAUUAAAAAUAAUUUUUUUAAAAAAUAAUUAUUUUAAUACAUUUCUGAGUAAAAAACAAUAAUUACAAUUAUAUGUACUAUCAACCACUCUCAAAAUAUUUGAUAUACACUUUGAACAUGACAAGGAUUGAUCAUUGUCUUGUCCAAAGUUUCAAAUUAAAGUUUUAUGGUCAAAUUACAAUUUUUAAAAAUUAAUUUAGUCAGAUCAUGGGUUUAAUUACAUAAUUACAAUUAAAGUAUAGGGAUUAGUUAGAACAACUAGUUAUCACUGCCUCUGAGAAUUAAUAUACAGCUCAGCAUUUUGUUGAAGGGACGGGCAAAGGUACAUUUAUUUCCGUUAACUUUCUAAUAUUAGAUCUUGCUUCUGUACAAUUUGUUUUAAUAUAUUAAAUAAUAUAAAGCACAAAACAGAUCAUAAUAAAAUACAAGUUGUGAUAUAUUUAUUGCACAUGACAAUCUAUAAAUAAAGUGUUUGGAUUGAGGUAUAAACCGUGUUUUUUUAAUUUUUAUUUUUUAUAUUUUACUUAAAACUAAAAAUUUUUAUGUUUUUAAAUUAUUUUGAUGUGCUGAUAUUAAAAAAAAAAAUUUAAAAAUAAUUAUUUUAAUAUAUUUCUGGAGAGAAAGAUUAUAGAGGACGAACAGAAGGAAUAGAAAAACAGAAACGAGACCCACAAAAACAAAACACAGAAAUAAAAUAAAAUAAAAUAAAAAAACACAAAGGGAUGAAGGGAAAGAUGGAGAGGAGGAGAACACAGGGGCUUCGUCAUUUCGAAAACCAGAGACGAAGAAGAAGAAAAAGAGUGCAGACAAGAAUUUGUACUGAAAAGGAGAAUCAGAAACGAAAACAGCAGCAGAGGGAAAGAAAGAAACGUCGCCUGAUCAGAGCACUGAUCACCCUCAUCUUCGUCUUCAUCUUUAGACACCAGCUCCAGGUACUCUCUUCUUCCUUUUCCCCCGCUUUGCAAAUUCAGCUGUUAGAAAGGCAAAUAAUUACCCUGUCAUUGUCUAAAGCAUGCGUAAGUAAUUCACGCACGCAUGCACAAUGACCAGCCGGAUCACUAGUUUGACCUAGUGACGGGCUAGGCUGAUGGGUCUAGCCCAGCCCAUACGGGUUGAGUUAGACCUAGCUUAAAAAAAGUAUAAUUUUUUUUAAAAAAAAAUUUAUGAUUCAUAUAUAUAUAUAUAUAUAUAUAUAUAUAUAUAUAUAUAUAUAUAUAUAUAUAUAUUACACAAUAUUGAUUUGUGUUUUUAUACUAUAAAGAUACGUAUCCGGUAUAAAAAUAUCCGAUUUUUAUCAAGACAUUAAGAAAUAAAAAUAAAAUAAAUAUUUUAUUUUCAUGGAUACAGCAGUUUCUCAAAAAUAAAAAUAAAAAAUUUGUAUCUUCAUACAACAAAGAAAAAAUUCAAAAAAUAUUUAACAUGUACUUUGGCUUUAAUAACCAGUUUAUUAAAGUAACGAGAACUAGGCCACUAUUUCAAAAAUUUUAAAUAAAUUAUUUUUUUUCUUUUAAUAUCUGGGUGCGACCUUAUACGUAACUCGUAUUCCAGAUAUUAAAUUCUUUUGUUGACAUUAAAACAGUUAAGUUUUACGCGAUAAGAUAAGGAUCUCUUUACCGAAGAGAACUUUUGUUCAACCGUAGACAGAUCAACAACUAGAAAACACAACAAGAUCUUAGAUUUUAUCAUACAAUAAAACAAUGCAGCUUACCUUAGGUAGGGUGUAUUUGGGGUCCUAAUAUCUUCCUUUUACGCAACCAGUCCUCGUACCCGAUCUUUGAAACCAGUUAGGGUUCCUAGUGACCAAAACACUUGGUGGCGACUCCCAUUCCAGCUUUCCACACAUAAGAGACAAGAAUUCCUUGUCUCCACAUAUUUUCUCAUUUGUAGAUAGGAUCGAUAGAACAUCAAAUAAGAUUUUGAGGGUGGAUGUAUUCGUCGCGACGUCGCACAUGUGCGACAAGGGUUAACCUUUAAAAUCCAUGACUCGGGUCAUCAGACCAUAAUAAACCCAAAUAAAAUAAUUCAAAACAAAUUAUGAAUCUUAAUUUUCAAUAAACCUAUUGUUGAAUUAUGAAAUUAAAAAAAAGAUGAUCUAAAAAAAGCAUAAAAAAUGUCUUUUCAAAACAAAAUUAUGAAUUUGAAUAAAAUUAUAAAAAUAUCAUUGACAAUCUCGCAAAGUCUUUCUAAACUUUGAUUGCCUUGAAUAUAUGUUAGGAGAUUUCUUGUUAAAUUUCAAUCUAAUUUAACAAUCAGAUUUAAAAAAAUAUGAUUGUUACAGUAAAAUUAGACUAUUUUUUUUAUAAAAAAAAUAAAAUAUUAUUUAACUAUAACAAAAUGCCUGGAAUAGACCGAAACAUUCCAGCCAGAAUUUAGGUGAAAUUCAUGGAACGAGAUAAGUUUCUAACCGAGGUGAAAUAUCUUCAAAUUUAUUCCAUUUUUUAAAUUGAAAUAAAAUAUACCUAUCAUUCUAGAUGUGACAUAGUGAAAUUAAAAACCAGUACGGCUCUAUUUCGUGGGAAAAAUUGCAUGAUAACAAUGGUAUCACUGACCCAUCUCGUGGUGGAUAAUUUAUUGCAAUGUUCUCUCCAUCAAAAUCCCUUUUGUUUUGAAAAGGAUUAUAUAUAUAUAUAUAUAUAUAUAUAUAUAUAUAUAUAUAUAUAUAUAUAUAGAUGCACACACUCAAUGAUUACUUAAUAUCUUUAUAUUAGUUUUCAAGUUUUGAGAUAUAGCUCUUAAAAACAAGAAAUAUACCACAAGAUUUUAUAAAAUUCAAAAUAUUAAUUUAACAAACAUAAUUUCAAUUUAAAUUUAAACAUAAACUAACUUGAAAUUAUGCACUUUAAAUUUUAAAUAUAAGUAAAAAAAUAAGAGCUGAAUCGAUAUGAGUCGAUCAAUUCAAUAAGCUCAAAGAUAGUCUAGAUGACUAAUAAAAAUAUAGUUUUACUUAAAAAAGUUCAAGAUGACAUAUUUUUUAAAAAACAAUAUUGAGAUAAUAACAUAUUGGAUCGAUUUUGGUCAAUAUGGGUUAACAUUUAAAAUCCAUGACUCGGGUCAUGAGACUAUAAUAACCCAAAAUAAAAUAAAUCAAAAUAAAUUAUGAAUCUUAAUUUUCAAUAAAUCUAUUGUUGAAUUAUGAAAUUGAAAAAAAAAAUUAUCUAAAAAAAAACAUAAAAAAUGUCUUUUCGAAACAAAAUUAUGAAUUUGAAUAAAAUUAUAAAAAUAUCAUUGACAAUCUUGCAAAGUCUUUCUAAACUUUGAUUGCCUUAAAUAUAUGUUAGGAGAUUUCUUGUAAAAUUUCAAUCUAAUUUAACAAUCAGAUUAAAAAAAUAUGAUUGAUACAGUAAAAUUAAACUAUUUUUUUUUAUAAAAAAAUAAAAUAUUAUUUAACUAUAACAAAAUGCCUAGAAUAGACCGAAACAUUCCAGCCAGAAUUUAGGUGAAAUUCAUGGAACGAGAUAAGUUUCUAACCGAGAUGAAAUAUCUUCAAAUUUAUUCCAUUUUUUUCAAUUGAAAUAAAAUAUACCUAUCAUUCUACAUUAUUUGUUCAUAAUAGAAUGGCUGGAAUAUAACCAAAAUAUUCCAGCCAGAAUUUAGGUGAAAUUCAUGGAAUUAGAUAAGAUUCUAAACGAGAUCAAAUAUCUUAUAAUUUCUUACAUUGUUUAAAUUGAGAUAAAAUACACCUGUCAUUCUAGAUGUGACAUAAUAAAAUUAAAAUACAUAGCUUUUAAAGCUUGUACGACCCCAUCUCGUGGGAAAAAAUAAAGAUGACAAUGGUCUCACAAACCCAUCUCUUGCUUGGUGGAUAAUUUGUUGCAAUGUCCUCUCCAUCAAAAUCCUUUUUUUUUUGAAAAGGAUUAUAUAUACACACACACACUCAAUGAUCACUUAAUAUCUUUAUAUUAAUUUUUCAAGUUUUGAGAUAUAAGUUCAUAGCUCUUAAAAGACAAUAAAUAUACCACAAGAUUUAAAACUAUUUUAUAUUUCAUUAAAAUAAAUAAAUAAAUUACUUAUAUGGUUACAAUAUUUUUUUCUUAAGAAAAUAUAUUUAUUUCAUGUGUUAAUAACAUUUAAGGAUAUUUUCCAAUCAAAUAAUCAAAUUUAUUUUAAUUAAAAAGAUUUCAAUCAAUAACAACAUUCCCAAUUAAACCAAUUUUUUUCCACGAACCCAACUUGUGGAAAAAAUGCAUUAUGGUUGGAAGAGGAAAAAUGCAUGACGGCAAAGUAGGAUUGCCUAUCCUAGAAAAAAAUGCUUGAUAGCAAGAGAAAAAACGCUUGAUAUAUAGCAAUGGUCUUAUGGACCAUCCCACUAACCUAUAUCUUGCAUCUCACACUGCAAAUUCCUAUCCAUCUUACUUGUUAAUUGUGUUAAAAAAAAGAUUGAUAAGUACUUUAGAAAGAAAAAAAGAGGACUUAUUGUCAUGAUAAUGACAAGAAGUAUUUUAGAAAUGAUAUUAUUUGUUGUUCAUUUUAUCAACGAUACUGUUUGAUUUUGCAAUCACCAUAAAAAUUAAGACAUGAUUUUUCACAUGUUAUUUCCAAAAAAAAAAUAGCAAGUCUUCUAUAUCCGUCAUCAUCAUACAAAUUGAGCUGCCUAGCAUUAACCUUUGGUUCAUAAUUUUCAUAAAAAAAAGCUGACAUGGGUUCAACUUUAUAAGAAGGAAUACAAGUUUUUAGUUAAUUACUUUUAUGCAAUUUAUUUUGUUUGUUUUUUUACAAUGUGGUUUUAAUCAGCGUUAUUAAAUUUAAUUCAAGUCUAACAUUUUAAUCUGGAACCUAACUCAAUUCAGGUUUAGAAAAAACUGAGUGAGAGUUGACCCAAUCAAGCCUAAUCGACAAGAUAAAUCAAUCCAGAAUCUAUUCAACUCAGUUAAAAACUAGUUUUACUUUUUUUAACUAUGUAGUUUUGAUUUUUUCUAAAACAAAUCUUAAAAUGAUACAAUUUUAGAGUAACACCAGUCAACAUAAGCUAACUUAUCCGAUCUAUGACCCAAAUUUUAAUCUGAGUAUUAGGCCAAUUUAUAACCUAAACUCUCAUCUGGGUAUUAAAUAUAAUCAUGUUUAAUAAUUUUGGUUGUAAUUAAUGAACAAGACAUUCUUAAAAAAAAUGUCAUAUAUAAAACAUUUAUUUGCAUCUAAAUUGAAACAUUCACAAAUUGAUAUAAUAGUUAUUAAUAUUUAUUUUUAAUAUAUAUAAAAUAAAAGAUUUUAAUAAUUGAUUAAUAUUGUUAAACAUGUAUUUUUUUAUGGUUUUUUUUUAAAAUUUCAUCUUUUAAUAUUGAAUUUGCUUAUCUAGAUCUUAUUAUCUAGGUCGACGAACUGAGGAUAGCAUUGCAUCACCACCAUGGCAAACUCGAUAUUACCGAGGAGUGCAGCAAUGUGCAAAGGAAUGUUUCAUGUGCUAAGGAUAUAGAGCCAAGUAAUUGUUUCUUCUUUGAGACUAAGACUAAGAGUCAUGUUGCAAAUGCAUGAUGGUUGGAAGAGGACGUCUCAUGGCCUCUCCUCGAGGAAAAAUGCAUGAUGGCAACGGUCUGAGGAACCAAUAUGCAGAUGGAAAUGUUCUCAUGAACUCAUCUCGUAGAAAAAACGCAUCCGAGUAUAUAAAUAGAAUUUUUUUUCUUUUUUUCCGAUAAACAUGACUUUCUUAAGCUUGUUGUAGUAUAUAGAAUUUUUUUAAAAUAAAAAAAUAGAAAUAUAAUUCGUAUCCGAGUAAAUACCUCCACAAAUAUAAUUUCAUUGAAAGCUGCGUCAUGUAUUAAUCUAAGGUUCAUUGUCCAUUAAUUAAUCGGUGGUUGCAUUUUAACACUUGAGAUUUAUUUUUCAUGCAUAAACAUUUAAUUUUUUUUCGCAAACUAAAUUGAAAUUAAAGCAUAUUAAUUAUCAAUUCCCAAGCUUACAGGGCAAUGGUCUCAUGGACCCAUCUUGUAGAAAAAACGCUUGAUAGCAAUGGUUUCAUGGACCAUCCCACCGGCCUAUAUCGUGGAAAAAAUAUAGAUGGCAAUACAUAGUCUCAAAGACAGACCCAUUUCGCAUUGCAAAUUCCUAUCCAUCUUGCUUGUUGAUAGUGUUACAUAAAAAUAAACUGACAAGUACUUUAAAAAGAAAAAGAAGAAGACUUGUUGUCAUGACAAUGACAAGAAGUAUUUUAAAAAUAAUAUCAUUUGUGGUUCAUUUUAUCAACGAUACUCUUUGAUUUUGUCACCAUCAUCAAAAUUAAGGUAUGAUUUUUGCAGAUUUUAGGUAAAAAUGAUGAUUUUAAGUUAUGGUUUGUUUAAAUAAUGAAUUUGAGUUAGAAAUCUUUAUAUAUUAAUAGGUGAUCUGAGUGUAAUUUAAUUAAAGUACAUAAAUUUAAUAUUGAAAUUUAAUUAAAGCCUCUCUUACAAUCCAAAAUUUAUUUUUAAUUAAAGUGCAUAAAAUUAACAUAGUUAAAGUUAUCUCUCUCUUUCUCUGUGUAUGUUAGACGGAGUUUGCAUUAGAUAAUUAAUUUUUUUUCAAGGUCUAAAUUUUAUACAUGUAAUUUCUAUAAAGAAAAUAGCAAGUCUUCUAUAUCCAUCGUCGUCCUAUGCCUAGCAUUAACUUUUAUUCAUGUUUUUUCAAAAAAUAAAAAUAAAAAUAAACUUGACUUGGGGUCAACGUUUUAAGAAGGAAUAUAAAUUUCGGUUAGUUACUUAAUUUUAUGCAAUUCAUUUUUUUUCUGUACUCUAUGGUUUUGAUGAACAGUUUCUUAAGCUAGUUGUCAUAUAUAGAAAUUUCUUAUAACAUUUUAGAAAUAUAAUUCACAUCUGAAUUGAUAAAUUCAAAAAUUAAUAUAAUAAGUUUUAAUAUUUAUUUUUAAUAUAUAUUUCGAAUUUAAUAUUAAUAUUUAUAAACUUUAUUUAGUUCAUAAAAAUUGUUCCACUUUUGUUAUAUCACUUUCCUUUUAAAGGGGUUAGGUGCAGCCUUGCAAAUUAUUUUAAAGUUUAUUUAUUUUGAAUUUAAUAUAUAAUUUUUUUAAAAGAUAAAUUUUAUUUAAAAAAAAAAUAUUUUCAAUAUAUGAAGGCUGGCAUAUUAUUUUUUUAUUUUAUUCAAAUAAUUUAUAAUAUAUGUGUCUAUUUUUAUUAUCGUUUGAUCGAAUUAAAAAAUAUUUUAAUUAGAAAAUUUACAAAACACAAUUGCAUUAAUAUUACGUCUUAUGAAAUUAAAUAUUUUGAUCUAUAUUUAUCAAUUGAUUUUUCUAGUUUUUAUUUUGAGUCAUCAUUUAUGGUUUUUUUCACUUAUUAACACACAUAAUUUUUGAUUUAUUUAACUAUAUUUGUGUAUAAGUUUUUUAAUUUUCACUUAAAAUUUAUAAAUAAAAAAUUUAUUGAAGAAAUCUAUAUAUACAAAUUUUAAAUUAAAACAAUUUAACUUGAAGCUGUAGUCAAAUAACUAAGUCUAUGUACUAAAAUGAGUGGCACUCAAAGGUUCACAUACCUUAUCUUCCAAGAAAGAAGAGACAAGAAAAGUAGUGGGUGAUGUUAUUUUCUCCAGCUGUAAAUAAAUAAAGAGAUUAAUACCAAAAACAUGGACAAAAAUUGAUGUGGACCCGCACCACUUUGAUUAUUCUUCACUUUUUUCGCUUUUCCUGUGUUUCACUACUUGAUGAUUCAAAAGUUAUCUAUUUAAAACAAUUUAAUUUUUUUAAAAUAUUUUUAAAAUACAAAAAUAAAUGGUUAUUAUUAUGUCAUGUAGCUAAAUUUAUUCUAACGUUAUUCAUACGAGAAUUAUAUAUUCAAUUUGUUAAGUGUUAGCAAUGCAAAAGAGACAAUAAGAAGUACAAAUUAUAUGUAUUUUAUAACUUUUUUUUAUUUAAAAGCUUGUAUCAAUGUUUUUUUUUUCAAUUUGAAUACUUAUAUUCACGGAAUUUAAUCAAUAAAAUAUCUUCAUUAGUUUUACUAUCAAAAUGAUGAUGUCAUAGUUAACUCUUUUUAGAUUAGCCUGGAUUGAUUUCAUUUUAUUUUUAAUUUAUGAACAAUAAAGAUAUAUAAAAUGCUUAUAAUUUAUAUUUUUUUUAUUCAAGUACUCUAAUUGAUUUUAUUUUUCUAUUUAAGUACGUGAUAAACUAAUGUUUGUCCAUAAAUUUGUUUACGUUGAUUUCUCUAAUAAAAGUAUAUAGAACAAAUUCAAUAAAACUAUAUUUUGAUUAAUAGAUUUGAACUUAAGUGUUGUUAUCCAUUUUUGGGACCCCACACAAAAAAGAGAAAAUACAAAAAGUAAGAGUUGAAGAAAAAUUAAUUAAAUAAUAAUAAUAAUAAUAAUAAAUAAAUAAAUAAUAUAUGUUGUAGUGAGAAAAGAUGUCGGACCGCCCAAAAUGGUCAAAAAUUUAUUGAGGUUAAAAAAUGCAAAAAUUGAAAUUUAACAGUAUAUCGUUGACUAAUGAGAGCCCUGUUGACAAAGAAAAUUCAUUUUUUAAAAAAUAUAUUCAAAAUCAGAUGUUUAUGGACUCAAUUAAAUUUUAUUGAGGGUUUAAUUGAAUUUAUGGAGGGUUUGAUUGAAAGAAAAUUGAGUUUUAUGUCGAUUUAGGCUUUUAUUGGAAGAAAUUAAAGUUCUAGGCUCCAAUUACAAUUUUGAAGAGUUGACUUGGUCAAAUUAGGAGCUUAUUGCAUAAUUAUUAAAGUUUUAUGAACAAUUAGAGACUUGAAUGCAAAGAUUGUCUUGUAAAUGGGGUUCAAAUCUAGGGAUCCAAUUAAAAUUUAUUCGGGGGCUUGAUUAUAAAAUUGCAAAACAUCCAAUGACCAAAUCAGAAAUAUUUAUUUUGAAUUUUAAAACGGUACCGUUUCCUUGACAAUUGUUCAUUACCUUCUUCAUUAACAACGGUUUCUACAGUAAAAGGCAGUGAAGACGUUAACGGUGCUGCUGCUUCAAUCAGGGGAGCACGUCUCACGGUUGAUAUCCCUCUCCACCAUGAUGCACUCCGCCCGUUACAAUCUUCCUGCAAUAAAUCCUGAAAAGCAUGCAUCCUCUGGCUAUAAAAAGCCAGAGGAGAGAUGGACAGGAAAAGAAAAAAAAAAGAAAAAAAGGAGACUGGGAAGCAGCACGAGAGGGAGAAAGAAACGAGCAAAAGGAAAGAAUGUAAGCAGAGGAAAUCGUUGAGACCAGAACCAGCGUUGCCAUCAUCUUUGUCAUUUCAAAAAUCAGAGAGGAAGAAGAAGAAGAGUGCAAAUAAGAAUUUAACGAAAAGGAGAAUAAAAAACGAGAACAGUAGUAGAAGGAAAGAAAGAAACGUUGCUCGAUCAGAGCACUGAUCGCCCUCAACUUCAUCUUCAUCGUCAGGCAGCAACUCCAGGGGACGUUUGAGAGGACCAGAGAGGGAGAGAAAGAAUAAAACAGGGAACAAGAGGAAGAACAGAGCAGAAGAGAAAAAAAGCAGAAGGGAAAUGCAGAGAAAGAAAGAAGAACCACCAGCCCGUCAGCGCCACGGUACUCAACCGCAACACCGUCCACCAACAGCACCGCUAGGCUGCAGGUCUGCUUCUUCCUCUUCCUCCUCCUCUUCUUCGCCUUCACCAGGUCUGCACCACUGUUCUUUGUUUUAGUUUUUUGGGCUAGACAGUGCCGGCCCAGCCCAAAAUGAAUGGGUCGGGUCCGGCCUAGUCAAAAACAUUUCUUUAAAAAAAAUCAUUUUAAAAAAUUUAGAUUUUCCCUCGUAUUUUUCUAUUAAAUUUUUCUUAGUAUUGGUUUGUAUUUUUAUACCGUAAAGAUACAAAUCUGGAAUUAAAAUACUCAGUUGUCAUCAAAACAUUGAAAAAUUAAAAAAAAAACAUAUUUUUAUUUUCAUGCAUACGGCUAAGUAUCUCAAAGAAAAAAAAUCAUAUCAUAUUUUCAUACAACAAAAAUUCAAAAAUAUAUAUUAACAUGCAUUUUAAUUUUAAUAACCAAUUUAUUAAAGUCUCGAGAACUAAGUCAAUAUUUUAAAAAUUCUGAUUUUUUUUUUUAGUAUCUAGGGUUACGACCUUAUAUUUAAGAUGUAUUCCGGAUGUUAAAUUCUUUUAUUGAUAUUAGAAUGAUUAGGUUUUACCCGAUAAUAUAAGAAUCUCUUUAUCGAGAAGGAUAUUAAAUUUUGACCAAUCAUUACUAAAUUGCUACUGGUAUAACUAUCUCUUGCAAAUGGCAGCGAGGAGUUUAGGCUUCAAUCAAGCAAGGUUGUCAAUUCCAUUUUAAUUGGUUUUUUAUUUUUUUAAUUGUAACAAUAUAUUUUGGUUUUUGAGUAUUUUGACGUGUCAUUUUGGAUUGUUCUAUAUAUACUUUGAAGUCAUCAAAUCGAUUGGGUCAUAUUGAUUUAACUCUUUAUUUUUACUUAUAUUUGAAAUUUAAAUUGUAUAAUUUAAAGUUAGUUUAUUUUUAAAUGUCAAUUAAAAUUAUGUUUGUUAAAAAUAUUGAGAUAACAAUAUAUUGUAUUGACCUAGGUUAAUCUUUUAAAUUCGUGACCCAGAUCAUGAGACUAUAAUAAGCUCAAAUAUAAAAAAAAUUAUGAAUCUCAUUUUUAAAUAAAUCUAUUGUUGAAUUAUGAAAUUGAAAAAAAAAUCAAUCUAAAAAAAGACAAAAAAUCACCUUAUGAAACAAAAUUAUGAAUUUAAAUAAAAUUAUGAAAAUUUCAUCGGCAAUCUCACAAAGUCUUUCUAAACUCUAAUUGUUCUAAAAUUUUAACUUGCGAUAUAAAUAUAUGUUAUGAGAUUCCUCAUAAUAUUUUAGUCUAAUCCAAUAGUUGAAUUGAGAUAUAUAAUUAAUACUAUAAAACUAGACUAUAUUUUUUUUUUAUAAAAGCAAAACAAAACAUUAUUUGAUCAUAAUAGAAUGGCUGGAAUAAAACAAAAAUAUUCCGGCCAGGAUUUAGGUGAAGUUCAUUAAAUUAGAUAAGAUUCUAAACGAGAUGAAAUAUCUUCCAAUUUAUUCAAUUGUUUAAAUUGAAAUAAAAUAUACCUUCCAUUCUAGAUGUGACAUAAUGAAAUUAAAAACCAUAGCUUUUUAGAGCCCCAAGCGUACGGCCCCAUCUCGUGGGAAAAAUUGCAUGAUGACAAUGGUAUCACUGACCUAUCUCGUGGUGGAUAAUUUGUUGCAAUGUCCUGAUCUUCAUCAAAAUCCUUUUUGUUUUGAAAAGGAUUACACACACACACACACACACACAAAGAUCACUUAAUAUCUUUAUAUUAGUUUUCAAGUUUUGAGAUAUAAGUUCAUAACUCUUAAAGACAAGAAAUAUACCACAAGAUUUAAAACUAUUUCAUAUUUCAUUGAAAUAAAUAAAUAAAUUACUUAUGUGGUUACAAUAUUUUUUCUUAAGAAAAAAAUAUUGAUUUCUUGAGUUAAUAACAUUUUAGGAUUUCUUCAAUCAAAUAAUCAAAUUUAUUUUUAAUAAACCUAUUGUUGAAUUAUGAAAUUGAAAAAAAAAAUCAAUCUAAAAGAAAACACAAAAAAUGACCUUACGAAACAAAAUUAUGAAUUUAAAUAAAAUUAUAAAAAUUUCAUCGGCAAUCUCACAAAGUCUUUCUAAACUCUAAUUGUUCUAAAAUUUUAACUUGCGAUAUAAAUAUAUUUUAGGAGAUUUCUCAUAAAAUUUUAGUCUAACCAACAGUUGAAUUGAGAGAUAUAAUAAUACCGUAAAACUAGACUAUAUAUAUAUAUAUAUAAGCAAAACAAAACAUUAUUUGAUCAUAAUUGAAUGGCUGGAAUAGAACCAAAAUAUUCCGACCAGGAUUUAGGUGAAAUUCAUGAAAUGAGAUAAGAUUAUAAACGAGAUGAAAUAUCUUCUAAUUUAUUCAAUUGUUUAAAUUGAAAUAAAAUAUACCUGCCAUUCUAGAUGUGACAUAAUAAAAUUAAAAACCAUAGCUUUUUAGAGCCCUAAGCGUACGGCCCCAUCUCGUGGGAAAAAUUGCAUGAUGACAAUCGUAUCACUGACCCAUCUCGUGGUGGAUAAUUUGUUGCAAUGUCUUGAUCUUCAUCAAAAUCCUUUAUGUUUUGAAAAGGAUCACACACACACACACUUAAUGAUCACUUAAUAUCUUUAUAUUAGUUUUCAUGUUUUGAGAUAUAAGUUCAUAGCUCUUAAUAUCUUUAAUCCUUAGUGGUUGCAUUUUAACACUUGAGAUUAAAUUUUUAUGCAUAAGCAUUUUUUUUGUUUGCAAACUAAAUUGAAAUUAAAGCAUAUUAAUUAUCAACUCCCAAGCUUACAGGGCAAUGGUCUCAUGGACCCAUCUCGUAGAAAAAAUGCUCGAUAGCAAUGGUCUCAUGGACCAUCCCUUCGGCCUAUAUCAUGGAAAAAAUGCAAAUGACAAUACAUAGUCUCACAGAUCCAUUUCGUAAUGCAAAUUCCUAUUCAUCUUACUUGUUGAUUGUGUUACAUAAAAAUAGAUUGAGAAGUACUUUAGAAAGAAAAAGAAGAAGACUUGUUGUCACGACAAUGACAAGAAGUAUUUUAAAAAUAAUAUCAUUUAUGGUUCAUUUUAUCAACGAUACUCUUUGAUUUUGUCAUCACCAUCAAAAUUAAGGCAUGAUUUUUGAAGAUUUUAGGUGAAGAUUAUGAUUUUGAGUUAUGGUUUGUUUAAAUAAUGAAUUUGAGUUAGAAAUCUUGAUAUAUUAGUAGGUGAUCAUUUGUGUGUAUGUUAAUUAAAGUGCAUAAAUUUAAUAUUGAAAUUUAAUUAAAGUCUCUCUUACAAUCCAAAAUUUAUUUUUAAUUAGAGUUCAUAAAAUAAACACAGCUAAAGUUUUCGCUGUCUCUGUGUAUGUUAGACGGAGUUUGCAUUAGAUAAUCAAUAAUAUUAUAUAUAUUUUUUUGGAGAAAGUAACUCAUUAAUUUCCACUUUGUUUUUAGAACACGAAAAAUUUUACUGAGUCUUAUUUAAAUAUGUAUUUGAUAUUAUAGUAGUUUAUAUGAUUGUAAUUUGAAAAAAUAAAUUUAAAAAAGCUAUAAGUUGUAGCUUUUUCUUAACUAAUAUUUCAAGAGAGAGUUUGUGGUAGGACCCAUACAAAGUUAUGAUAUACGUUAAUCAACCAAACACUUUAACAUGUAUGAUUAGAACAAAAUGCAUAAGAUAUCAUACUAUAGAAACUAAUAAAGAAUCAUCUAGAUCUAACAAAAUAAUUUUUUAUAAGUAUUUUAAAAAAUUAAAUCUACUCGAGUGAGAUACCAAGUGGUUUCCAAACCAAUGCAAUUUUAUAACCAUGGUAAAAACCCGAAAAGAAGUGAAAGAAAAUUAAGAAAAAAUUUCAUCAAGCAUUUGAGUUUUUUACUUUGGUUUUAUGUUUUAGAAAAUAACGCUUUUUAGUUAAUGAAAAUUUUUAAUUUGAACAAAAUAAUUAAAAUACCUUCCUAUAUAAUAUGUCAAAAAUUCACAAACAAUAGAUCGCGCGAGUUCUCUUUUCCCUUCUUUCCAUUCCCUCCUCUCUCUUCAUCUUUUUUUUUGUUUCAACCCUAUAUCGAUUCAAUUGAAGCUUAUGAAGAACUCCUAAAUUCUUAGUGAGUUAGUCUAUUCACCCCCCCAUUGUUAGUGAAGUAUCUUUUUUUUGUUUCUUGUAUAUGUCUUCGUCGUGGUACAACAAUUUUAAUAGAAGAAUUACUGACGCCUUUUAUAAGCAUCCAUUUUCCUUCUUGUUGUUUUCUAUUCAUUUUCACACCCCAGUUGCCACCCUGCUUUUCUUUCCAUUCACGCACACAGAUAGUGCAUAAAAGCACUGCGACAAUAGUUGAUUCCCAGUCAAUACGGUCAAGAUAAGGUAACUGGCUGUUGUGUGAUUUUUAUAUGGCUUGUGUGUUUUAGAUGGGUGUGUGGUAGUCACCCAAGAGAAAUUCAAUUUUAGCAUUCUUUUAGAUAAGAUAAUUGGUUGUGUUUAAAAAUCAAAAUGCCACACACCAGAAAAGUCAAUUACUUAAGAUUUGCGGAAGAUAUGAUACAAGAGAUAAGAAAAUGAUGGUGAUAAGUUAUUGUAUAUACUAUAGCCACAAAUUCCACAUGGAUAAGAUUUAUAAUUAUUCUGUGUUUAUUAUUAUUGAUAAUUUAUGUAUUUAAUUAUAUAUGUGAUAGUGAUGACACCAUGCAAGUAGGGUCCUAAAUAAUUCUAAAUUAUGAUGAGAGCAGUACACUUAUUAAAUCAAAAAGAUCUUACGACGGAAUCACACACGAAUAUUGAUAACAAUGUUGAAAUAUUGUAACAAUUUUUUUAUUUUAAUUUUUUAUAAAUUGGAUAAUUAGUAACCAAAAUAUAAUUAAAUGCAAAUAGAAUAAGUGCUAAACAAUAAAAUAAAAUAACAUUCAAAUCCAAGAUUAAUAUUCCAAAAAGAAAUGAAAUAAUAUUCAAAUCUCAAAACAUAGAACCUGCAUAAGAUAUGCAGAUAAAAUCAUGGAAAUGGCCAAAAUUGUAGUAUAAAUUGGAUCUCUAUGGUUGCCCAAAGACACAUAACAAACAACAAUAUUCUACGUAGAUGAUGAUGAAAAGAAUAGGGGCUUGUAUAUUAUUGACUCAACCAAGUGGGAGUUGACUCAAUCAAGCCUAAUCAACUUGAUAAAUUAAUUCACAAUCUAGUUAAUUCAAUAAAAAACUAAUUUUAUUUUAUUUAACUACAUGAUUUUGAUUUUUUCUAAAUAAAACUCUUAAAAUGAUACAAUUUUUUAUUAACAUUAGUCAAUAAGCUAACUUGUUUGAUCUAUAACUCAAAUCUUGAUCCGAGUAUUAAGCCAAUCUAUGACCUAAACCCUUGUAUUAAAUCUAACCAUCUUUAAUAACUUUGGUUUCUUAAGUAAAACAUCAUAUAUAAUUAAACAUCUAAUUGCAUCCAAAUUGAACAUUCACAAAUUGAUAUAAUAGUUAUUAAUAUUUAUUUUUAAUAUAUAUAAAAUGAAAGAUUUUAAUAAUUGAUUAAUAUUGUUAAACCACAUAUGUUUUUAUAGUUUUUUUCUUUAAUUUUAUUUUUUAAUAUUGAGUUUGUUUAUCCUAAUAUCAUGAUCCAGGUAAUAGAUUUGACGAGUUAACUUAAGUCUUUUUUUAAUAUAUAUAUAUAUAUAUAUAUAUAUAUAUAUAUAUAUAUUAUGUUAUUACUUGUCCUGCUAGACAGCCUCUAAUUUUGGCGCUAAUAUCUUUCUAUAAUAAUACUUGACUAUUAUAAAAAAGAAGAAGCAGCAGAAGUAGAAAUAACUUAGCGGAUUGACUAUUAUAGAUAAUGAGUUAUUUAGUUGAUUUUUGAAGAUUUUAGGUAAAAAUAAUAAUUUUGAGUUAAAUGAUGAAUUUGAGUUAGAAAUUUUGAUAUAUCAGUAGGUGAUUUGUAAAAAUCUAGGUUUGAUGUUGAAGAUGAUAAAAUUUCAUUUUGGUCCCUCAAUUCGUGAAAAUUUAAGUUAAUCCCCAAACUUUAGAAAAAUUACAGAUUGGUCCCUGAAGCAUAAUCCUAGAUUCUGUACCAAACUAGAGAUGAUUUAUGAGCAACAUUCCAAUAUAGUUAUGAAUUUAUGAUAUUUUUAUUUUGGUCCUUCAAUUUGAUAAAAUGACAAUUUGACCCUUAAAAAUUUGCUAAAAUUCCAGAUUGAUCCUUGGAGCAUAAUCCGAGAUUCUGGAUAGAAUUAAAGAAGAAUUAUGGGCAAAAUUUCAGUAUAGUUAUGAACAUAACAUUUUCAUUUUGGUCCUUCGUUAAUUUAAUAGCAUUGCAAAGGCUUGAGAAUUCACAUAUCUCCUGAUGGAAUAGGUACUUGCUGCUAAGACAUUGUCUUUUAACUCUAAACAUUAUUUUUCUGGUCUUGGAAUAUGCUUUGCAUAACGGAUCGUUAGUAGAAAAAAGAACAACAUUUACAAUCUAUGAAGAUAAGUAUCGUAUCAUCCUCGGAUUUCAUAAGCUGACUAGCAUUUCUAUCCUGCGUGGCAUGUGUCCGGCGUUGUACCAACAGGAACCGCUCCAUCAAACUGCCGCCCAC